RNAcentral lists this long non-coding RNA (47300 nucleotides) under Octopus vulgaris (common octopus). The record is from RNAcentral. Lineage: Eukaryota; Metazoa; Mollusca; Cephalopoda; Octopoda; Octopodidae.
UAUAUACUUAUUUAUUAUCUACUGUUCAUAUGGAUCUAUGACUGAAAGCUCCCAAGCUACGCAGCAGUAAAAAAACACGAGGAAACUGGAAUUCUGUCUCACAAUACACACACACACACAAAACAAAAAUGAAGUUAUUAUACAUAAAUUAUGUAGGGGUUUGAAGAACCCCUCACCAUCACCAGGGAGUGUUUGAACAAGUCACCAGAACUAUAGCAAAAGACAAUUUUUUAUUGAUUGUUAAAACAGUUAUUGUUUAGCCCAAGGUCAGAACUGACCAAGCAGAGCAAUGAUCAAAAACAUUCCAUCUGAGACCACCCGGUAUUUUUUUUUUUAUCUAUGUGCACAGAACUCAGGAUCAUACCAUCUAGACCGCUUUUUCUUCAAAGUUGGUAGGAAGUGAUGAGGGAGAUUUGGCUGCUAUUUCCAGCAGGCAGAAAGACCAUGUAAAGGCUCCGUCUUUUGCUUCGAACACCUGUGUUUUAGGUAAGUGGUGAAUAAAUGAACCUUGUAAUACAAUAUUACUAUACAAACACACAAUCAGUGAACUACCAUAUUAUGCACACCCCAUGGACAACAUUACAACACAUAAUUACAGCACAUCACACACACAGUAUAUACAAUGUUAAUACACACAUCCCGUCAGAGCAAACACGUCACAAAUAAUACACUCAUACACAGUGUACCCAGGAUGUAUAUAAUGAUGAUAGUACAAUGUGCACAUAUUUGAUUGUGAAAGUGUGAAUAUUUAUUUCCAGUGAGUGUACAUAACACAACAUAAUACACAAUGCAAAAAUGAGUAAGCAAGUAUUCUCAAACGCAUGAAAAAUAUAUACAUUUAUAUAUACAAUAUAAAUGUGUGUGUGUGUGUGUGUGUGUAUAUAUAUAUAUAUAUAUAUAUAAUAACAAAGGGUAAAAUUAAUUAAUUAAGAAGUAAUAAUUUCACCAAGUAGAAUUCGGCAUGAAAAAAGGACCAUUUCAUGGUAAACUUAAGUAAUCCUUAAUAAUUAGGGUUCAGCAAAGAUUUGCUUUACCACAUACCAAAGUUUAGAAAUAGCAGCCAAAAAGGUUAGCUAUUUCUUCUACUUUAAAAGGGGGAGUCCCUUUUUAAAGUAGAAGAAAUAGCUAACGUUUUUUGGCUGCUAUUUCUAAACUUCGGUAUGUGGUAAAGCAAAUCUUUGCUGAACCCUAAUUAUUAAGUGUGUAUAAGGCGCAUGGCUCAGUGGUUAGAGCGUUGAGCUUACGAUCGUGAGGUUGUGAGCUCGAAUCCCGGACCGGGCUGCGUGUUGUGUUCUCGAGCAAGGCACUUUAUUUCACGUUGCUCCAGUUCACUCAGCUGUAGAAAUGAGUUGCGAUGUCACUGGUGCCAAGCUGUAUCGACCUUUGUCUUUCCCUUGGAUAACACUGGUGGUGUGGAGAGGGGAGGCUGGUAUGCAUGGGCGACUGCUGGCCUUCCAUAAACAACCUUGCCCGGACUUGUAUCUAGGAAGGUAACUUUCUAGGUGCAAUCCCAUGGUCAUUCAUGACCGAAGGGGGUCUUUACCCCUUAUAUAUAUAUAUAUAUAUAUAUAUAUAUAUAUAUAUAUAUAUAUAUACACACACACACACACACAAAGCAGACAUAUAUGUACACACACACAACAAAUAUAUAUAUAUUUAUAUAUACACUCAAACACACAUACACACAAAGCAGAAAGAAUUUUAUUUUAAAAAAUUUGAUUAUAUAUAUUAUUAUUAUUAUCAUCAUUAUUAUUAUUUUUAUUUUUAUUAUCAUCAUUAUCAUCAAGGCGGCAAGCUGGCAGAAUCGUUAGCUUGCUGGGUAAAAUGCUUUGCAGCAUUUCGGCUGUCUUUACAUUCUGAGUUCAAAUUCCACCAAGGUCGACUUUGCCUUUCACCCUUUCGGGGUCGAUAAAUUAAGUACCAGUUGCAUACUAGAGUUGAUCUAAUCAACUGGCCUGCUCCCCACCAAAAAUUUCAGGCCUUCUGCCUAUAGUAGAAAAGAUUAUUAUUAUUAUCAUCAUCAUCAUCAAGGUAGCAAGCUGGCAGAAUUGUUAGCAUGCUAGGCAAAAUGGUUUGCAACAUUUUGUCUGCCACUACGUUCUGAGUUCAAAUUCCACCAAGGUUGACUUUGCCUUUCAUCCUUUCAGGGUUGAUAAAUUAAGUACCAGUUGAAUACUAGAGUCAGUGUCAUCGACAUAUCCCUUCCCUAGAAUUUCAGGCCCUGUGCCUUUAGUAGAAAGGAUUAUUAUUAUUACUAUUAUUCAGUAGUGGUAGUAGUAGUUAGCAGAAGCAACAGAGAGACUUAAGAACCGAGAGUAUUAUGCAUCAGCACUUAUCAAACUAUAUAUAUAUAUAAUUAAAUGCUUCUGUGAGGAGAUGCUGAAAAAUUCCUGGCUUUAAGAGUAUCACAAAAGGCCUGGUUGGAGGCCUAACUUUCCAAGUUCUUUCAGAGGUCUUAGAAAAAAAAUGACAGACUGCCGCAAUAAGCGUGUGAAUCUGAGAAAGGAGCAUGUUCAUAAAAUCAUAAUUAACUGAUGUUCCUGUAUUUUCUUUUACCCAAAGCCAGGAACUUUUCAGCCCCAACUCCCGUCCUUGUAUCUUGUUAAUUAUUAAUUUUUCAGAGAAAAAUAAAUGCGAUAUUCAUCAAUAUCAUACAAGACUAUAUCUGUGUGGAAAAUUAGAAAACAAUUCAUUGAAAAAUCCUUAAAUGACUGGAAGAAAAUGAAAAAAAUUAUAUUUAUAUAUGUAUAUAUAUGUAUGUAUGUAUGUAUGUAUGUAUGUAUGUAUGGUGCGUGACUUCUGGGACAUCCCAUAUAUAUAUAUAUAUAUAUAUAUAUAUAUAUAUAUAUGGGAUGUCCCAGAAGUCACACACCAUUCCGGUUUCCAUUAAAGAUAAUUGACGCAAUGUAUUUUAUUUCCAUAUUUGAAGCAUGUUUUAUUGCAGAGGGUGCUCAAUUUGAGCAUUUGUUAGGAUUAUUUUCAAUAAAGUGUUUUUGAAAUCAAUAAAGGAGUAUUUUUAAAAAACCCAGGAAGGUGUGUGACUUCUAGAACACCCCGUGUGUGUGUAUAUAUACAUAUAUAUAUAUAUAUAUAUGUAUAAAUUAUAUUUAUAUAUAUAUAAAUUAUAUUUAAAUAUAUAUAAUUGCAGAAGGCCAGAAAUUCAAGGGUGGUGUAGGUUGAUUAAACUGACUCCAGAAUUUGACUGGAACCUUAUUUUAUCAAAACCAAAAGGAUUAAAAACAAAUUUGAUUUCAGCAGGAUUUGAACUAACAACAUAACAGCACAAAUACAACACCAACAAUUCUGUCAAUCCAUCACCCUUAUAAUAAUUAGAAAAUUAUUAAUAGUAAUAGUAAUAAUAAUAAUAAUGGUUCCAAAUUUUGGAACAAGGUCACCAAAAGGAAGAAAGGAAAAGUUGACCCUGGUCAACUUUCCCCUUCUUUUGAAAUCAGAAUACAAGGAUGAAAUGCCACUAAGCAUUUUGCCCAGCAUGCUUCUGCUAGCUCAUCACCUAAUUUAAUAAUAAUUUAUUCUUUUAUUGACCACAAGGGCUAAUAUAUACAAACAUAAAAGGACAUACAAUAACAUUGAAAGAUAAAAAAAAAUAGACGAUACAAUGGGUUUUCCUUGUAUAAACAAUACAAAACAAUAAAAGAUUAAACAAAUUAAAACUCCCAAUAGGGGAGGUGCUUUAAAGGUCCUCAUGGAAAAAUCCACAAAAGCCAUGGGUGCCUGAUCAAUAGGGCAAUAGCCCUUUUAUUUUUACAGGUGUAUAUACAGAAUUGGUUCUUUCACACUGACCAUUCUUCCAACAUUCACCCAGGCACAAGGCCUGAAAUUUUAGGGUGGGGACUAAUCAAUUACAUCAACCCCAGUGCUCAACAACAACAACAAUAAUAAUAAUGUUGGUUAUUAUUUGUCAUUUUUGCUAUUUCUCCUUUAUGUAAUUCAAAUUUUAUUGCAUCAAUAUAUUUUCUAUAUUAACUCUAUACAUAUUUUGGCAGUGACACAUAGUAAGAGUUCUCAUCGAAAGAAAGAACUCUUAAUUAACAGACAUGAUAAGUGAGAAGAAAUUUGGUGACUCUCACUCAGACUGUGCACACAAGCCAUCAGCCCUUCAUCUUAUCUCCCACAUGGCUCCGCCUCUGGCUUCAGUUAAAACAGAUUAAAGAUCAAGAUUGAUAAUAUAUAGUUUUACCAGAUAGGUUUUUGUUGCUGUUUAAUACCAGGUCAGCCCUGAAUGAACAAGCCAAUGAUCAAAGGCAUUCCAACCAUGAACAUUCAGUUCAUCCAACUUCCAGUCACUAUAUCUAGGGCUACAUUAAUCAAUGUGUCCUUUUUUUUUUUUUUUUAUGAUGGUAGUAUGUGAUUUAUGGGAGAUGUAACUGCUAGUUUUAGCAGGUCAAGCAACCACAUCUGGAUUCGACAUUAGCAUUUUUUACUGUUUUUUAUAUCUAUUUUCUUUGCUUGUGCUGUUUAUGGAUGCAGAGUGGUUGAAUGCUUAAGAGGUUUGUUGCAUGGUGUCUUGGGAAAAUAAUUUCUAUCAUAUUCUUGGAUCAACCCCUGCUAAUUUUGCAGGUCAAAUUGAGUAGACAGAAACUGCAUGAAAAAUUCAUCACCAUCAUCAUCAUUUCAAUGUCCACUUUUCCAACAAUAAUUUGGACCUUUCAUUUCUCCUGUGGUCAAAGAUUAACCUGUUCCUGAAAGAAAUGUUAAGGCUAACACAACAUUUACCAAGUUAUCUAUUAGCUAUUCCAUACACUAAUAUGAAAUGAGAGAGGAGGUGCAAUGGCCCAGUGGUUAGAGAAGCAGACUCGCGGUUGUAGGAUUGCGGUUUCAAUUCCCAGGCCGGGCAUUGUAAGUGGUUAUUGAGCAAAAACAUCUAAAGUUCCACAAGGCUCCAGCAAGGAGGGGGAGGGGUCGAACCCUGCUGUACUCUUUCACCACAACUUUCUCUCACUCUUUCUUCCUGUUCCUGGGCCAGCGUUUUCACACUUUGUCACGCUGACUCUCCCUGAGAACUACGUUAAGGGUACAUGUGUCUGUGGAGUGCUCAGCCACUUGCACAUUAAUUUCACAAGCAGGCUGUUCCGUUGAUCGUAUCAACUGGAACCCACAUCGUCGCAACCGACAGAGUGCCACGAUUAAAUGAGAAAUAUGGAAUGAAAUAUUUCCAUCCAAGCAGACUCAACAAUACUUUUACUACAGUUAUCAACCUAAAACUUAGGAGAUAGCAGACGUGUACACACACACACACCUAUAUAUUUCCAUUUGGCUAUUCCCCCGUCUAUCAUGCAUUAAAUGUUAUCAAUAUGUCUUUGAGACAAAUUGGACGAAGACAGAAAUACAGAUAGGAAGGUGUGAGAAAGACAGAUGCAGAAAGAAUGAUGAGAGAGAGAGAAAGAGAUACAAAGAGAAGGAUGAGAAAUUACGUAAAAGCUGAUUUAUAUAAAUAUAUAUAUAUAUAUAUACGAGAGAAAGAAAGACUAACAGACAGACAGAGGGAGAGACAGAGACAGAGAAGUAAAGGCUUCAAACAAUGAAUAAAAGAGAGAAAUAACAUUUUGGAACAAUAAAUUUGUAACCAAGUGAAACAUUAAAAUAAAACGGUAAAAAGCAAAAUACAACAUGGAAAAAAGAAGUACUCAAAUUUUUCAUUUUAAUAAAAUAUCUGUGAAAUUGCAAAGCAAUUUGAUGAAAAGGAUUUUCAGUGACUUCCCUUCAGCAACAAGCUUAGGAGACAUAAUUAUGAGUGUGAGCAGGUGUGUGUGUGUGUGUAAUCACAUCAUACACACAUUUCUAUAUGCAUAUAUACAUGCACAUUUAUAUACACACAUACACAUAUAUAUAUACACACACAAUACCCACACACACACACACACUCACAUACAUGCAGACAAUACCCACACCCACACAUGUAUUUAGCCUUCAAAUCAAUUUCAAAAUUGAAACGUUUGAGAAUAUGAUAGAAUAAAAACAAUUUUUUAAAAUAUGUUUUGACAAAAAGUUGUCCUUGGAUGUUAAAAGAUGAUUGAUAUUGACAAAAUAUAUUUAAAAGAAUUAAAAGAACCUAGGUACAGCAACAACAACAACAACAAUAAACAUUUCUAGUACAGACACAAGACCUCAAAUAUUUUGGGGAAGGAAUGCAUGUGAUUUAAUCAACCAAUCACUAGACACAUGGAAGUUGACCUUGAUGAGAUCUGAACUCGGUUUUCAUGGUGUACAAGUGAUUGAGAUUACAAAAUUCCUGCUGAUUGGGACGCCAUCCCGCAACCAUCACAGAAUUGCUUGUUUACAGUUCAGCAGAUGGGAGCAACAUGAAAUGAAGUGUUUUGCCCAAGAACACAAUACAUCAUCCAGUCUAGGAAUUGAAACAAUGAUCUUGAGACUGCGAGUGCAACAUCCUAACCAACAAACCAUGUAACAUUACUCUCUGAGACAAAGGAAUGUAUAAAUAUUGUUAAGGCGCAGGAGUGGCUGUGUGGUAAGAAGCUUGCUAACUAACCACAUGGUUCCGGGUUCAGUCCCACUGUGUGGCAUCUUGGGCAAGUGUCUUCUGCUAUAGCCCCGGGCCGACCAAUGCCUUGUGAGUGGAUUUGGUAGACGGAAACUGAAAGAAGCCUGUCGUAUAUAUGUAUAUAUAUAUAUGUGUGUGUGUUUGUGUGUUUGUGUGUCUGUCCCCCUAGCAUUGCUUGACAACCGAUGCUGGUGUGUUUACGUCCCCGUCACUUAGCGGUUCGGCAAAAUAGACCGAUAGAAUAAGUACUGGGCUUACAAAGAAUAAGUCCGGGGGUCGAUUUGCUCGACUAAAGGUGGUGCUCCAGCAUGGCCGCAAUCAAAUGACUGAAACAAGUAAAUGAGUAAAAGAGCAUUAAUUUGUUGACAUUAGACAUUUUUAUGUUUUCCAAUAUGCACUUCUUUCUGAGGCAAGACAACUCUUGCUAUAUUUCUCAUACCAUGAAUCAUAAAUGGUUAAUAAUUUGUUUCUGAAAAAAGCCUAUGGCCUGAAAUUUGGAAGGAGGGAUAGUAAUGGACAGUAGCAUAAUUGGGGGGAGGGGGCAAGGAAAGAGGAGGCAGUCUGUCCUGGGAAGCACUUUUACGAAGAUAGCAUAGUUGGGUCUGCUGGGUAACUUUGUAUAGGCUAGGAGGCUGGGACAGGAGUGGGGAAAACUCAAGGACCGCUCCUGGUGGCAUGCAGUCUAGCUACACCACUGGUGUCUGAUUGGUACUUUGCCUGUCAUCCUUCCAGAGAUGAUAAAAUGUCGAACUUGAUGGGAUUUGAACUUAGAAUGUAAUGCAAAAAGCCAUAAUCUCUCCUACAUUUUUCUUCAGCCGAGUGAUCCUAAUCUUGUGGACUAGUGGGUACUGGUACCACAUAAAAAGCACCUGUAAAAGCACCCACUGCAGCACCACAUAAAAGAACCUGCUACACUCUGUAAAGUGGUUGGUGUUAGGCAGAGUAUCCAGUUGUAGAAACCAUGCCAAAAGAGACAUGGAGCUUGGUGCAGCUCUCCAGCCAGCUCCUAUCAAACUGUCCAACCCAUGCCAGCAAGGGAAACAGACGUUAAAUGAUAAUUACACCAACCCUAGUAAUAAAGCUAAAGAUUUCUGAUUUAGGCAGUCAUUUUGAGAAGUAGUGAACAGGGUUGGGGGGGGGGGAGAUCAAAUAUAUUGGCCCAAAUAAUUAACUGGUACUUUUAUUUUAUUGACCUCAGAAGGAUGAAAAGCAAACUUGGUGGGAUAUGAACUUAGAAUAUAAAGAACAGGAAGUCAUUCUGCAAAGCAUUUUGUCUGAUGUUCUAAUGAUUCUACUAAUCCAACAUCCUAAUAAUAAUAAUAAUAAUACUAAUCCUUUCUACUUAAAGGCACAAGGCCUGAAAUUUUGGGAUGGUGGCUAGUCAAUUAAAUUAAUCCCAGUGCUCAACUGGUACUUAUUUCAUCAACCUCUAAAAGGUGAAAGGCAAAGUCAACCUUGGUGGAUUUGGAACUCACAAUGUAGUGACAGACGAAAUACUACUAAGCAUUUCAUUUAGUGUGCUAAUGACUGCUAGCUUGCCACCUAAUAAUAAUAAUAAUAAUAAUAAUAAUAAUAAUAAUCCUUUCUACUAAAGGGGGAGGGUUAGGGUUAGUAUUCAACUGGUGUUUAUUUUAUUGAUACCAUAAGGAUGAAAGGGGCAAGUGAACCUUGGUAGAAUUUGAACUCAGAACAUAGCAACUGGUGAAAUACCGCUAAGCAUUUCAUUCAGCGUGCUAACGAUUCUGCCAGCUCACCAUCCUUUCUUCUACAGGCACAAGGCCUGCAAUUUUGGUGGGAGGGAGCUAGUUGAUUACAUCAAGCUCAGAGCUUGACUGGUGCUUGUUUUAUCAACCCUGAAAGGCAAAGUCAAUCUUGGCAGAAUCUGAACUCAGAACAUAAAGACAGAUGAAAUGCCACUAAGCAUUUUGCGCGGCAAGCCAACAAUUCUGCCAGGUCACCACCUUACCAACACCCUAAUGAUAAUAAUAAUAAUUAUUAUUACUUCUUAUUUUGAACUUGACAAAACAGUCGUACUAUUGAAAUAUUGUUCAACUAAUAAAAUAUCUUACAAUCGAAUCGCGCUCUUCAUCUUGACUGUUUACCUUUGUGAAGAGUUACAUCAAUCCUUUUUUAAAAUAUAAUAAUAAUAAUAAUAAUCCUUUCUAAUAUAGGCACUAGCUAGGGCACAACCAAGUAACUUGCAAUACAAAACCCCUCAACUGAGUGGAGGUGGAUCUGUGCUAGGUGUUGAGAGGCUAAGGUAUGAUGGGGGACAGGAGAAGGUGUCUUGUUGUAGAGAUACAUGGCUACACCAACUGGAAAGAGUGGAAAAAAGAAAAAAAAGGGAUGGUGGAGAUGAUGUUUGAGAACAUACCCUCAAAGUACAAGAAGGUGGAUAUAAGAAAGAAUAGGGACUAACGAUGGAGGAUGGAUUGAUGGGUAAUGCAUCAGGUGAAAUCUAAUGAUUUCCCACCUAAAAUUUGUUACAUGUAACAACAAAUUUAUUAUACAUGCACAUACAUAUAUACACAAAUACAUACACACACACACACACACACACACACAAAUGUACACACACACACAUUAUCAUCACUUAAUGCUGGUCUUUCAUGCUGACAUGGGUUGGACAGUUCGAUAAAAUCUGGCAAAUGAGAGGACUGCAUUGUGCUGCAGUGUCUGCUUUGGCGUGGUUUUUAUGGCCAGAUGCCCUUCCAAAUACCAGCCUUUUCCACAGAGUGUACCAAGUGCUUUUGCCAUGGCACCAGCGCUAGUGAAGAUUGCCUUAUAACUUUCAAGACUAAGGACCUAAAGUGGUCCCUAAUACUGAGGAAGGAUAGAAGAGAGAGGGUGUGAUGAUUCUAGGCAGGAUGGAGAGGAAGGUUAAGAUGAAAGGAAAAGAUUCAUAGUUGUGAUAGGGUCAUAGUGGAGACAGCAACAGAGUAGACAUUAUUUGGGGUAGGAAGAAUUGCAGGAACAAGGGAAAAAGAAAGAAUAUAUAUAUAUAUAUACACAUACAUAUAAGUUCAGACAUGGCUGUGUGACAACAAGUUUCUUUCCAACCAAAAGGUUUCAGGUUCAGUCCCACUGCAUGGCACCUUGGGCUAGUGUCUUCUACUAUAGCCAUGGGCUGACCAAACCUUUGUGAGUGGAUUUGGUAGACAGAAACUGAAAGAAGCCCAUUGUGUGUGUGUGUGUUUGUACCCCACCCCUAUCACUCGACAACUGGUGUUGGUGUGUAAGUCCCUAUAACUUAGCAGUUCAGCAACAGUGACUGAUAGAAUAAGUGGCAGGUGUAACAAAAUAAGUAUAGGAGUCAAGUUGUUCGACAAAAAUUCUUCAAGGAGGUGCCCUAGAAUGGUCUCAGUCUAAAACUGGAAAAGAAGUGUGUGUGUGUGUAUAUAUAUAUAUAUAUUCAUACACACAUAUAUAUUCAAACAUAUGCAUAUACAUACAUACAUACACUAACACAUAUACACAGUCACACACACAUGCAUAUGCACAGACACACAUUUCCUCACACUUGUGCAAACAAAUGCACUCACACACAUAUACACACACACAAACCCCCAACCCAUAAUUAUAGUUAACAACAUUUCAUGGAAAAGAUAAGUCUUUGAAUGUUCACUUGAACUAGAUAACCAAAAGUCAUUUCAUUGGAAUAAAAAGAUUUCAUUUCAUUAUGAUUGCUUCAUUAUACACAAGUAGUAACGGUUCAGUAAACAUGAUAAAAUAGUGAUUUAGUAGAUAUGGUGAAAUGCCUGGCUUAUAUAUAUUUUUAUGGCUAGUUUAGUAUCUCAGGUUUCUGUGCUCAAAUUCCCUUUGGGGAUGAUUUUUGCCUUUCAUCUCUCCAGGGUCUUUAAAUAAGUAUUCAAAAUAAUGCACUGAUGGGUUGAUUCAGAUGAAUAAAGAAAUUGCUACAAGGAUUUCUUGUUGCUGUUGAAUAAAAAGAAAGAAAACAAUAAAUGAAAUAUAUAUGUAUAAAAAAAGCAUUGAAUUGUGCAACUUUCUGCUGUCUUCCAUUAAACUAGUCUCUAGAGGGUUGCAUAGAAACUAUAUUACAAUAAACUUCCAUGAAUUCAAUCCCAGUACAAAGUGUGUGUGUGUGUGUGUGUAGGUGCAGUCAUGGCUGUGAGGUUAAGAAGCUCAUUCCUUUCAAGGAAUUGCCCAAGCAUGGCCACAGUCCAUUGACUGAAAUAUACACACACGGGGGAGAGGGAGAGAAAAAGUUACGAAAUUUUCUGCACAAUCAUCAGGUCCUAGGUUUGAUUCCUUCAACAUAACCUCAGAUUUGUUUAGCCUGUGUCCGUCCUGAUCUAGCAAACCAAAAGUCAAAGACGUUCUAUUGUGACUUUUAGGAUACCUAAUACUACAAUGUCCAAUGUAUGAUUUUUUUUUUUAAGGCAGACUGUAUGAUGCAUGUGUACGAACAGCCAUGCUACAUGGCAGUGAAACAUGGGCCGUGACUGCUGAGGACAUGCGUAAGCUCGUGAGAAAUGAAGCUAGUAUGCUCCGUUGGAUGUGUAAUGUCAGUGUUCAUAGUCGACAGAGUGUAAGUACCUUGAGAGAAAAGUUGGACCUAAGAGGAAUCAGAUGUUGUGUGCAAGAGAGACGAUUGCGCUGGUAUGGUCAUGUGGUGAGAAUGGAUGAAGAUAGGUGUGUGAAAAAGUGCCACACCCUGGCAGUUGAGGGGACCUGUGGAAGAGGUAGACCCAGGAAAACCUGGGUCGAGGUGGUGAAGCACGACCUUCGAACUCUAGGUCUCACCAAGGAAAUGACCAGAGACCGAGACCUAUGGAAGUAUGCUGUGCGUGAGAAGACCCGGCAAGACCAGUGAGAACAAUCAAAAUCAAAUCAUAUAUCAGAAAGCAGGGGUUAAGUGUCCGCUGUCAGCCUCGUCUGGCACCCGUGCCGGUGAUACGUAAAAGCACCAUUCGCUCAUGGCCGUUUGCCAGCUCUGCCUGGCCCCGUGUCGGUGGCACGUAAAAGCGCCAUCCGUUCGUGUUCGUUUCCAGCCUCGCCUGGCCCCGUGCCGGUGACACGUAAAAGCACCGUCCGUUCGUGGCCGUUUGCCAGCUCUGUCUGGCAACCGUGUCGGUGGCACGUAAAAGCACCAUCCGUUCGCAUCCGUUGCCAGCCUCGGCUGGCCCCCGUGCCGGUGACACGUAAAAGCACCGUCCGUUCGUGGCCGGUUGCCAGCUCUGUCUGGCCCCGUGUCGGUGGCACGUAAAAGCACCAUUCGUUCAUGCCCGUUGCCAGCAUCGCCUGGCCCCGUGCCGGUGACACGUAAAAGCACCAUCCGUUCGUGGCCGUUCGCCAGCUCUGUCUGGCACCUGUGCAGGUGGCACGUAAAAAACACCCACUACACUCGCGGAGUGGUUGGCGUUAGGAAGGGCAUCCAGCCGUAGAAACACUGCCAGAUCUGACUGGGCCUGACGAAGCCUUCCAGCUUCACAGGCCCCAGUUGACCCGUCCAACCCAUGCUAGCAUGGAAAACGGACGCUAAACGAUGAUGAUGAUGAUGAUGAUGGGUUGUGACUUGAGAGAUACUUGACUGCUGUUUCUAGCAAGUUGAGUGACCACUUAUAGCUUCCCUUGUUAGAGUACUGGAUUUUGUGACACAGUUUGCAAGUUCGAAUUAACUGCAGAAGGCAUUUUUAUGUGCAGAGUACUUCAUCUUACAUUGCACAGUAGUUGUAAAUGAAUGCCACAAUCAUGCAAUUGGUGUUCAUUUCCAAUCUUCUCUAGGGACAUGUCCAGCCAUGGAGAAAAGUAUCCAGCUUGGAAAGGAGUGAGUGUUGGCAACAGGAAAGGUAUCCAGCUGUAAAAAAUCUGCUCCAUCAUAUUUCAUCUGACCCAUGCAAGCAUGGGAAGGUGGACGUUAAAAAAGAAAAAAAAUGAUGGGAGACAACAACAUUGAAAAAUGACGAUAAUGAUGAAAAAUGACAUGGAAAAAUGGCAAUGGAAAGCUAUGAUGUUGAAAACUAACAACGAUGAGGAAAAACAAUGAAAAGCUAACUAUGAUGAAAACCGAUGAUGAUGAUGAUGAAAAAUGGCAAUGAUGAAAGAGGACAACAAUGAGGGAAAAUGACAAUGAUGAAAAGUGAUGAUGAUACUGAGUGUGCAAAAUAUGAAAGCUAGAUAUAAUGUGAUGAUGUAUUAGUAUCAGAUCCUGAACAAUGAACCAUUGAUUUCAAUCUCAUGAUGACUCUCAUCUAUUUCUUCAGCAUCACGCAUAAUUUCAAUUUCAGUAAUUGUUUACUAUGUUGAAGAAAAUAUCUCAAAGCUUUUAAAUUAAACCAUGACAACUCGAUGAAUGCUAAAAAGAUGCUGAUAAAAAUCUCUACAGUCUCUGAAUUUCAUGUGAAUGAAAUUUUGUAUAAAAUUAACAGUCAACAAAUCUAAUAGCCAGACAGUAUUGGCAAUUGUUCAAGACAUUUAUAAAUCUAUAUAUUUCUGCACUUUCUACUACUUACAUAGUUCUAAUGGAGAAAUCCUAAAUGUCGGCAACAUCUGAAAGAAAACCACCUGCUCAUGUCAUUUGCUACUCUCAAAAAUCAAAUCAACAACAAUUGUAUAUGUAUAUAUAUAAAGAAAAUCUUUUAAAGAGAGUUAAAUAUUUGACUUGUUCCUGUAGAGGAACAAAGAGAAAAUUUAACACUUCAGAUGUAAUUUAUAACACAAUAACACACUGCAUUAAACCUUUUUAACACCAAUCCAUUUGAGAUGCUCUGAAUUAAAGUGUUCAUACUUUAAUUAAAUUAUUGGUUAAUGUUUUAUAACAUAAAUGAUGAGAUGAAAUUCCAGCUAUUCAGAAGUAGAAUAGCACCAGUUUAAUGUCAGUUUCUUCAUGCUCGCAUGGAUCAAAUGAAAUCUGUUGAUGCAGGUUUUCUAUGGUUGGAUGCUCUCCCAGGUGCUAACAUUUAUUUGUCUCCAAGUAAAGGAAUAUUUUCUCAGAGUCUUUUCAACACAAGUAGCACAAUGUCAGAUACAAUUUUUCAUGGAAGAUUGCAAACAAACGACAUUGCUUGUAUGAUGGUGACAUUUAUCUACAGUUAGCAUGGAAUGUCAAGACAAGGAGACAUGAGCAUCUGCGCGCACACACACACACAUUUUAGAUUUCUUUCAGUUUCUUAUUUCUUUAUUGCCCACAAGGGGCUAAACAUAGAGGGGACAAACAAGGACAGACAAAGGGAUUAAGUCGAUUACAUUGACCCCAGUGCGUAACUAGUACUUAUUUAAUCGACCCCGAAAGGAUGAAAGGCUAAGUCGACCUCGGCAGAAUUUGAACUCAGAAUGUAGCAGCAGACGAAAUACCACCAAGCAUUUCGUCCAGCAUGCUAACGUUUCUGCCAGCUUGCCACUUUUCUUUCAGUGUCUGUCAACCAACUGCACUCAUAAGACUUUGGUCAGCCCAGGGUUACAGUAGAUGUCAUUUGCCUGAGGUGCCAUGCGGUGGGACUGAACUUGAAAGCACAUGAUGCUGAAGUUAACUUCUUAAUCACACAGUCAUAUACCACAGAAAUGUAAAAAAAUAAGGCUGGAAUGUCUAGUGGUGGUUGGUAUCAGCCAGAUUAUACAGAGAAGUUUCUAAGUUCAGAUAACUUUGUGAGGAGAAGAGUAAUCUGACAUGAUUCUUUUGACUGAUUUGAAAGAAAAGAGAUUUUCCAAUCUCCAGCAUACAAACUUAUAGAGUCUUAUUUGUUAUAGUCAUGUUUUGGUUGUUAUAUCCUCUAGCCUUCUUCAUAUGCUUGUUUUAUUUGGUAGCAUUCUUGGAAUUUUAAACCAAAUCUUUUAUUAAAUUCAUGGCAGCAGAUUGCUCUCAUUCUGUUGUCUAUAUAUCAGAUACCUUGUUAGUUAUUCUAGUUGUGAUGUAGUUUGUUCAUUCCACUGAUCGUAUGUGUGGGGGGAGGGGUGUAUUUCAAUUGAUCAAAAUAUAAACUCUGUAAUGUCCAUUUUGCCCUGAAGAUCUUACACCCAGGCUAUUCAAAAUGCAAAAUUAUAUCAUUACAUAAUUGUAAUUUAAAUUGUAAUUUAAACUGGGUACAAAGUGAAACGAUUGUAGGCAAUGUAAAAUAAUUAAUAAAUUAAUUUAUAACCAUUGAAUCUCUCCAUUUUCAAACUAAUUAAUAAUAUUUGAUGUUUUUUAUAUAUAUAUAUAUAUAUAUAUAUAUAUAUAUAUAUAUAUAUAUAUAUAUCACUAUACUGGCAAGACUAUCAGAAGUUUUUAUAUAGAAGUCCCAGAAAUCUCAUGGGCUGACAGACCAGAAAUCUCGUGGGCAGAAGGCCCAGAAAUCUCAUGGGUAGACAGCCCAGAAAUCUUGUGGGUAGAAAGCUCAGAAAGCUCAUGAAUAAAAUGAGCUGUAUAGGUCACAUACCCUUCCUCCUGAAACCAUAAGAAAGUUUCUUUUUUUUAUUUCAGUUAUAGCUUUUCACUUUAAUAAUAUAAUUUCUUUUUAUUUUCAAGAAAAGUAUCAAUGUUACACAUACAUUUUAUUUAUGAAUCUGUAAAUUUAUGACUUUGAACCAUUUAAAAGUCAAAAUUGAUUAUUUAUAACACUUAGUUGUAAAGGAAAAUAAAUCAAAAAGAAAUCUGAGUAAUAAAGAUUUCUAAAAGUCUUCUCAAGUAGAGUGUGACCAAAGAUUUUAUUAUCUUCCCUCCCAGUUGAUAUCUUUAUUUAUUUAAUUUUACUUGUAGUACAUUCAUAAAUAUAUAAAUAAAUAAAGGAUGGUGGUGGGGGAAAUAGGAAUGAACACAUAAAUUCAAAUAAUAUUAUGAUACAAUAUUUUAAAGUAUCAUUAAAUCCACAAAAUUUAUUUUCACCACAGAAGAAGGAUAAUUAAGAAAAACCAGUUCUAAUAGGUUAGGGACAUUGAUGUUUUAAAUAUGUAGAGCAUCUAAGUAACCCUUUUGAUACCAACCUACCUGAGACUGACUUUGCUUCUGUGAUACAAACUUCAUGUUUUAAAGAGAUCUAAAUGAAAAGCAUCUAUCAAGGUUUUAUGUUAAUUUAUGUUCUGAACAUCAGCUUAUUUAACGCCAAAGUAAUUAUGAUUAACUCUUUAUUAUUCUUUGUAAGCCUAGUACUUAUUCUAUCGGUCUCUUUUGCCGAACCACUAAGUUACGGGGACGUAAACACACCAGCAUCGGUUGUCAAGCGAUGUUGGGGGACAGACACACAAAUACACACACAUAUAUACACAUAUAUACGACAGGCUUCUUUCAGUUGCCAUCUACCAAAUCCACUAACAAGGCUUUGGUUGGCCCGAAGCUAUAGUAGAAGACACUUGCCCAAGGUGCCAUGCAGUGGGACAGAACCCGGAACCAUGUGGUUGGUAAGCAAGCUACUUACCACACAGCCACUCCUGCACCUAUGUUGUUAAUAAUAAUGACAAUAAUACUAACUUCUUGACCCAUUAGCAUUUGAACUAGCCAUAUACAGCCCAAAAUGUUCUACAUGUUUUAUGUUCAAACUGACCAGAUCAGGCCUCUCACACCUACCCAACAAUGCCAUUCAAAUCAUAAACAAUCACAUCAUCAAAAUCUCAAAAUAUGAGAUAAUGCAGGAUUAAUUUAAAACAAUAAGAAUGUGUAAUACAUUUGACAGAAUCAUCUGAACGCUUCAGGGUUAAACUGAUACUUUGUUAAAGGAAGACAUAAAAAGACAACUGAACCAAGUCAAAUGCAAAACAGGUAUUAUAUUUUUGCAUUUAGUCAGAAGGUUGUACUCACAACCUUUGCAAGCCUCCAAGAUUUGAAAACAAGCAACAGUGCCUAAAAAUACCAGUCUACAACAGAACCAUUCAAACUACUUUCAAUUAAAUAUUUCCUUAUAUAUUCACACUUUUUUUUACACACUUCCUGCCUCUUACUUUAGGCGGGGCAGCAGCUGUGGGCUUGAAAGAAGGUAAAUAUUGAUUCGACUUCCACAAAGAGACACAGCGCUUUAUAUUUAUGAGGAAGUGUAAAUAUAGACGGAGGAAUAUAAACAGAAGAAGACAAACAGAACUUGAGAUUGAAACCUGGUUGCUCAGUCAACUAGCAUGCCUGGAAAUAAACUCUACCAGGUGUGGCAGGUUGUGGUAUAAAGUGAGGUUGAUAAUUCAGAAGAACAGAAGCAUUUGAUUUAAAUAUAGUAUCAUACUAUACAAACAUAGCACACAUUAUUUUUACCUCAUUAUAAAUCAUUAUACAAGCUUAAAAACAUGUUUCAGUAAGCUUGGUAUGCAACUAGGUGGAAUCAAAUGUUUCGAUUGGUUCAAAUUGCAUCCUUUGAAUAGCUUCUUGCAUUUAAAAUGAUUGAUUCUGAUUGGAUGCAGCUGUGUGGUUAACCCUUUUGUUACCAUAUUUCUGUUGAAAUGCUCUGUGUUUCUUUCAAUUAAUUUUAAAUAUAACAAAGAAUUUAGUAAAAUAACUUAGUUAUCAUUAAGCUAGUGUUAGGAAUACAAAUUGUGACAAAGGUUUGGUGGAAGAUUUUAAUUCAGAACUUUUAAAAACAAGGCAUUUGUACUACAGAGUCAGUGGCAGUUUCAGGUGGGUUAUUAUCAAAAGGGUUAAGUAGUUUUCUUCCCAAUUAUGUGGUUUUGGGUUCAGUCCCACUGUGUGACAUCUAGGGCAAGUGUCUUCUUUAUAGCCCAGAGCCAACCAAAGUCUUGUGAGUGGAUUUGGUAGAUGGAAAUUGAAAGAAGCCUGUCAUACACAUAUUCACAAUAUGUAUGUGUAUAUAUAUAUAUAUAUAUAUAUAUAUUAAAAACAAGGAUAAGAUCUAUAUAAGAAUUUAUCAAGUAGCCAGCAUGAAAAACCAGUAAAGGGAAAAAAAUUAUACAAAAAAUAUAUAAUUAUUCCCUUUAAAUAUAAAUACAUUCAUUAUAUUAAGGGUUAUUACUGAAUGUGUGUGUGUGUGAGUACAUAAUGUGAGGUUUUGUGUGUGUAGGUGUGUAGGUGCAUGUAUGGUAGCUAAGGAGUGAAAUUGUUGGAUUGCUGACCCAAAAGUCGUGAGCUGUUGCAUUGCUAUUAAACACUGCUUGGUAUAAAGUUGGCCCAGUGCCUCAUCCAAACAGACAUUAGUAGCUAGGUUGAAGAGUCAAGGAUUUCAGUGACUACAUUACUUUGGCAACCUUCAAACAAGCAAAUAGGGAGAGUAACUUGAACUUUACCUCGUGUAAAAAUGAAUUCUCUCCACUAGACUUAAUGUCCAUCAUGAUCAUCAUUAUUAUCAUAAAAAACAUUAUUAUUAUUAAAAAUUAACUCGUUAAAGGUGGUGAGGGUCAAAGUCACUUGUUAAUCACAUCAGGAACAAUUUAAGUAUCGGUCAUCAAAUACUGGGGUUAAUUAAACCAACUACAUCCUUUUCCAAAAUGUGACCCUGAGCCAAUGUCAUAAGUUAUCGGAUGGGGUCAAAGUUAGCUGUUCAUCAUUCAGGGGUCAAAUAACUAAAUAUCAAUUGCGUACUGAAGUACAUUAAAAUCACAUACAACCUUCCACAAAAUGGCCUUGUGCCAAUCUCAGAAAUUAAAAGUUAUAGGAAAAUAUAAACAAUUUGGGUGUUUUAUGCCCACUUCUUUCUUUCUUUUACAAGGGCUUAAAUAAAGGGCUACUCAAAAAGCUAAGUUCAGUAUCCUUAAUGCGAAGAAUUCUCUAGCUAUGACAAUCAGCCAAUGAAUCUGUGAGCUUAUUUCAUAUGAUAAAUCUUCAGAUUUUGCUUCAGAAUGAAUAUUGCUCUAGCAGUGCAUCAACAGGAUGUUUAUCAUUGACAAACUGGCUUUGGGAACAUGUCAAAAUCAAUGCAUGUAUAUCUAUUUCUUUAUUGCCCUCAGGGGGCUAAACAUAGAGGGGACAAACAAAGACAGAGAAAGGGAUUAAGUCAAUUACAUUGACCCCAGUGCGUAAACUGGUACUUAUUUAAUUGAUCCUGAAAGGAUGAAUGGCAAAGUCGACCUUGGUGGAAUUUGAACUCAGAACAUAACGGCAGACAAACUACCGCUAAGCAUUUCACCCGGCAUGCUAACGUUUCAGCCAGCUCACCGCCCUAAUACAUACAUAUAUAUCAUCAUCAUCGUUGUUUAACAUUCUUUUUCCAUGUUGGCAUGGGUUGGAUGGUUUUGACAGGAGCUGAAGAGACAGAAAGACUGCACCUAGCUCCAAUAUCUGCUUUGGCAUGGUCUCUCCAUUGGAUGACCUUCCUGAUGCUAACCAUUUUACAGAGUGUACUGAGUAGUUUUUACAUGGUACCAGCACUGCACCUCCAUGCAUGUGUGUGCAUCUGAGAAAAAGCAAGCAAAUCGAAACUUUGAAGUCACUGUCAACGUUUUCCUUCUAAAUGUUUAAUAAGCAUGUAUUGAGUUAUCCUUCAGUUUAAUGUUAAUCUGUUUUUAUAUAUAUAACUUGACAUAAAAACAAAUCUUUAUAUAAAAAUAAAGAACAGACUUCUGCACAGUUUCUGCAUACUAAAUUUCAGUCAUAACAUCAUCAUCAUCGUUUAAUGUCCACUUUCCAUGCUAGCAUGGGUUGGGCGUUUUGACUGAGGUCUGGCGAACCAGAUGGCUGCACCAGGCUCCAAUCUGAUCUGGCAGAGUUUCUACAGCUGGAUGCCCAUCCUAACGCCAACCACUCCAAGAGUGUAGUGGGUGCUUUUAUGUGCCACUGGCAUGAGGGCCAGUCAGGCGGUACUGGCAACGGCCAUGCUCAAAUGGUGCUUUUUAUGUGCCACCUGCACAGUCCAGUGGCACUGACAACGACCUCGCGAAUGUGUUCAGUCAUAACACAUUAGUUAAACAAAAUCUAUGAAAGGCACGAGAUGUCACACAAGAUCAGACUUGGAACCAUAUGGUUUUGAAACAAACUUCUAAACCUCACAGCCAUACCAGAUGUUUCAGUGAGUCAAUUUAUUAAAACAUUUUUGUCACCAACCCAUUAGGAGAUUACCUUCUGUUGUUACAAAACAGUCCAUUUUGGAAUAUUCCUAUCAAAAUCGAAACCUGUCAUAAUUUUAGAUAAGAAUCAUUUCAGAUAUGUUCCAAAUACAAUUUUAAUCCUGAACUCUUUUAGCAGUCAAAUUAUUCAGUUAAAUGUAAUGCUUAUUUAUUCACAUUGUUUUGAAUUAAUCCAUGAAUUCUUUUAUAUUCUUUUACUCUUUUACUUGUUUCACUCAUGUGACUGUGGCCAUACUGGAGCACUGCCUUUAGUUGAGCAAAUCGACCCCAGGACUUAUUCUUUGUAAGACUAGUACUUAUUCUAUUGGUCUCUAUUGCCAAACCACUAAGUUAUGGGGACGUAAACACACCAGCAUCAGUUGUCAAGCAAUGUUGGGGGGGGGACAAACACAGACACACACAUACAUAUAUACAAACAGGCUUCUUUUCAGUUUCCAUCUACCAAAUCCUCUAACAAGGCUCGUCCUGAGGCUAUAGUAGAAGACACUUGUCCAAGGUGCCAUACAGUGGGAUUGAACCCAGAACCAUGUGGUUCGUAAGCAAGCUACUUACCACACAGCCACUCCUACGCCUAUACCUUUAAGAUUUCAGUUACAUGAUUGCUUAUUUUCAGAAUAACAUUGUAAGGUAGGUGUGAGGGGCUGAAUCUGGCUGGUUUGAACAUAAAAUAUGGUAGUAUAUUCAGGCUGGAUAUGGCCAGUUUAUAUUCUAAAGUGUUAAAGUACACUACUUAAUAUUGCAAUAGGUUACUUUAACAAAUAUAUAUAUAUAUAUUGUGGAAAUUAACAUUUUAAAAAUCACAUGACAAUGAGAAUCACUUACUGCCAACGUUUGUCUAUUAAUACAUUUUCAGCAAAUUGCUUACUGACAAUUCCCAGUCUAAAAAGGUUGUAAAUCCCUCCAAAUUCUCCAAUUUUUUUUCUUUCUUAUAACUGAAAACCCAUCAGUUGUGUAUUUCAACAGCAAAAUAAUCAUGAAAAGGUUAAAAGAAAGCUCAAUAUUCAAUAUACUCACAAAAUAGAUAUUUUAAACUGGUGGAAAGGCUCCAGCUUGGGAGUAGGUGUUUUAGGAUGAAUAGAAUUACUCUUUUAGUCCCCACCACCACCACCACCACUAUUCUCAGGUUCAUUCUGGCCCAAAGUGGGGGUAUUUCUUGCUGACUCUAGUUAUGGGUCAAAUAGAUGAUCCUGUGGCUGAGGGAUUCAAAACUUAGAAGAGAGAUAGCCCCUUGACUAGACUCACACAAGCCCAUUCGUAUCUGAACAUGUUCUGAUGUCAGAUAAACUAGUCCCCCUACUUAAGGGUAAGCUUGGAGGGCAAGACAUUAGCAGAGUAAACAGGAAAUAAACAAGCAGAACACAAUGGGGAAACUACUGUUGUGUCUUUCCCAAGAAAGAUCAUGAAUCUUUAGGCUUUGGUCCAUGAUCACCAACACUUGUAGGCAUGGCACCUGGAGAGAGAGGAGCAGUGAGAGAGAGAGAGAGAGAGUCUAUAAAGUGUCUAUAGUGACCCAAUAAAAUUUUACUGAUUUCUAUUUUUGGAUUGCUGCCAAGCAGGACACCCACUUCAAGUUAAUCCCAUAUCAACCAAAGCACCUCUUUCUGUCUGUUACAUAGUUUAUCGGUCUGUAUUCACCUCAAACCACAGAGUUACGGCACAUACAGCAAUAAGACAAAAAAAAACAUCAUGAUGUAUACAUAAACACAAAUCUACAUAGCAACUAAGGGUUUCAGAAACACACAUGCACCUAAGCACCUAAUGGAAUUUUCUCACAUCACUCAAGAUAUCACUGGCUUAAACCUUUAUGAGUCCACCCUCUCCUAGUCAUCCUCCCUCUCAUCUUCCCACAUCACUUUCUAAGAAUUUAGUAGCUUACUUUCUUUUCUUCAUAUAUUCAUUUUUUUCAUAUAAAAAUGUUAGCUCUGAAAUUUGUCAUCCAGCUGAGCUAAGGGAAACAACUCAGUAGCUUAGAAGUAAAUUAUCUUUCUAUGUUGCACAUAGCAGGAAACAGAACGUUCCUGAAAUGGCCUCUUGAAGAACUAAAUGGGUAUUUUGUUCCCUGAUGAUCAUCUGGUUGUUUGUCAUGAAUAUUUCCCUCAGAGAUAUGAUGUAACAAUUUCAUGUCACUCCAAGUUAGAGUAUCACCAGUCCUGCAGAUUGUAUAAAUCAUAUCCUUCACACUCUGUAUUUGAGUUCUCUCUACCCCAAGUUAUUCAGAAUACAAUGUGUGUGUGUGGGGGGGUAAGAGGUUUGCUUCCCAACCACACGGUUCCAGGUUCAGUCCUAUUGCAUGGCAUCUUUGGCGAGUGUCUUCUAUAGCUUCAGGUAUACUGAAGUCUUGUAAGUGGAGUUGGUAGGUGGAAACCGAAAGAAGCCUGUUGUGUAUGUAUGUGUGUGUGUUUGUCCCCCCACUACCACCACUUAACCAGUGUUGGUGUGUUUAUGUUCCCAUAACUUAACGGUUCAGCAAAAGAGCCAAUAAAAUAAGUACCAAGCAUAAAAAAGUACUGGGGUCGAUUCAGUCAACUAAACAUUCUUAAAGGCAGUGCCCCAGCAUGGUCACAGUUUAAUGGCUUUAAGUAAAAGAUAGAACACAAAAGAUAUAUGUAUGGCAGGAGAUGAAAUCAUGUGGCCUUGUGGUCAGGGUAUAAGGCUCAUAAACUUAACGUUGUGGGUUUCAGUUCCUGAACCAGGUAGCAUGUUGCACACCUGAGCAGAACACUUAUUUUCCUGUUGCCCCAAACUAUUCAGCUGAAAAUAAGGACCAGCUAAGCUCUGGUGCAGACCUCACUUCCUUCAGCUGUCACACCCUUGAUGCUCUGCUGAGUCAAGGCUGAGAAAGCUCUGUACAUGUCUAUUUCUACUCAUGACUACACAGGCAUCUGAAACAAUUAGUGAAACUAUGGUACAUGCUUCCAAACCAUACUCACUUGCGAAUGAUGUUUAUGAUGUUAUGAGUUUAGCCAAAUGGUCAUGACUUUUAGCAGUCCAUAUACAAGUGGGUAAAACUUGUGGCAGAGGGAGACCCAGGAAGACAUAGAAUUAAAUAUUGAAGGCAGAUCUCAAGACACUGAAGCUUACAAAGAGGAUGACAAAGGACAAAGAUAUCUGAUGCCUAGCUGUAUCCAAGAAGACCCAUCUACUACAGCAAAAUUGACACUGGUUCUAGUGCCACAUAAAAAGCACCCAGUUAGGAAGAGCUUCCAGCCAUAGAAUCCAUGCCAAAACAGACAAUGGAGCCUGGUUCAGCCCUUGGCCUUACCAGCUCCAGUUAAACUAUCCAACCCAUGCCAGCAUGAAAAACAGACAUUAAAUGAUGAUAUACAUAAUGUGUGUGUGUGUGUUUGUUUGUUCAGCAGUAUCAGUGUUUAUGCAUAAGCAAACUUUAGGCUAGCUAAAAUAUGUUUGUGACACAUUUCAACUUCUAAAGACAAAUUAACAGUUAUCUUGGAGGGGAAAAAAAAACAACUUAUUCUUUUAUUUCUGUAAGUCAUUUGACUGUGGCCAUGCUGGAGCACUGCCUUUAGUUGAACAAAUCAAUACCGGGAUUUAUUGUUUUCAAGCCUAGUACUUAUUGUAUUGGUCUCUUUUGCUGAACCGCUAAGUUUCAGGGAUGUAAACAUACCAACAUCGGGUACAAACACACACACACACACAUAUAUAUAUAUAUAUAUAUAUAUAGGGCUUCUUUCAGUUUUCCGUCUACCAAAUCCACUCACAAGGCUUUGGUUAGCCUGAGGCUAUAGUAGAAGACACUUGCCCAAGGUGCCACGCAGUGGGACUGAACCCAGAACCAUGUGGGUGAGAAGCAAUAUAUACAUUGCAUGUGUGUGUGAAUUGGUAUGCAUGCAUGUGUGCACCUAUGUGUUUGCAUGUAUGUGAAUGAGUAUGCAUGUAUGUGUGUGUGUCUGAGUGUGUGUGUGUGUGUGUGUGUGAAUGUGUACACAUGCAUGUGUGGGUGUGAAUGAGCAUACCACCCCACAACUAUUUUGUUUCUUUCUCAUUCUUUGAAACUAACAUAUGUAUGAAGACAAUGCAUCAUUAUUAUUAUUAUUAUUAUUAUUAUGUUUGCGUUUUUAAUUGGAAAACUGUAUUUAUCUAGAAGGUCACAAUGCUAGGUUGGUAUGGAAACCUACCUUGUCACAAUUAUAUAACAUCUAAAAAAUAAAAAAAAAAAUAAUCAAAUAGUCUUAAGCUUGUUGCUACAAAAGAAACCAAUAUCUUGCUGGCUAUCAAACUACAGAUUAUUAUCAGCAGCAGCACUGACUUCUGAAUUCUGUCUCUUGGAAUUAUUAAAGGCCAAUCAAUUCACAUAACCAGUGACUAGGUCAGUCAAGACAAACAUAACUUGGAUUUUCUUUUUUUUUCUUAAGGUACCAACAACAAUUGGUAACAAGACACUGUUAGUUUACUCUUUACUUGUUUCAGUCAUUUGACUGUGGCCAUGCUGGAGCACCGCCUUUAGUCGAGCAAACUGACCCCAGGACUUAUUAUGUAAGCCUAGUACUUAUUCUAUCGGUAUCUUUUGCUGAACCACUAACUUAUGGGGACGUAAACACACCAGCAUUGGUUGUCAAGCAAUGUUGGGUGUGUGUGGGAAAACAGAGACACACACACAUAUAUAUAUAUAUAUAUAUAUAUAUAUAUACACACACACACACACACACACACACACACACACACACACACACACACACACACACACACACACACACACACACACACACAUAUAUAUAUGACGGGCUUCUUUCAGUUUCCGUCUACCAAAUCCAUUCACAAGGCUUUGGUCAGCCUGAGGCUAUAGUAGAAGACACUUGCCUAAGGUGUCACACAGUGGGACUGAAGCCGGAACCAUGUAGUUGGUAAGCAAGCUACUUACCACACAGCCACUCCUACGCCUAUGUUUGAUAAUAAAAAUAAUUUUUGGGGGGUUGGUAAAUAUAUCAAAUUUUCUUCAAAGAUUUUGUUGUUUGCUACCAUUUCAACACUGUUCCAUUUUAGAACAGGGUAAAAAAGGAAAAAAAAAAAAACUUGACAUUUAUGGUGAAGUGGUAGAAUUGUUAGUUGUUUCCCAAACUGGUAUGGAGGAGGAAACUUGACAGGAACAGGCAAGCCAGAGGACUGCUUCAGGCUCAAAUGUCUGUUUUGGCCUGGUUUCUAUAGCUGGAUGGAUGCCCUUCCUGACCCUAACCCAACCAUUUUAUGGAGUGCACUGAGUACUUUUUUUAUGACACUGGCAAUAUAUGAAAAACUGAAAUUUGAACUCAAAAGAGUAAAAUGUGAAAAACUAAAAACUAAAAAAAAAAAAAGAGGAAAAAAAAAGGAAAUAAUUUGAACUGCUAUUGAUCAUAUAAUUAAUAUAAUUUGAAACCAAACUGAUAAUAUAAUUUGAAUCUAAAUUGAUAAAAUAAUUUGAUUCUAAAUGAAAAAAUUAUUUGAGUUCAAAUUAGUAAAAUUAUUUUUUCUUUAAAUUGAAUUAUAGAUUUCAAUUUGAAUUUUGAUUUCAGAUUUUUCCACCCACAUGGUUCAUGAAAUGAUCACAUCGUUGUUUUAAACUUCCUUGAUUACAGAACUAAUUUAAUCAUUUUAAUUGGCACAGAAACCUAAUAGUAGUAUUGAUUUACAAUAUUGGCACAGGAUCACACAGUUUUAGGAGAGACGGAGUGGGAAUAUAGGGUACUCAUGCCUUUACAUAGGAUUAUCAGUGAUGGGGAAAUGGCUACAACCAGGAAUUAAAAGACAUGUCGCAGACUCGGUUCACUGUCAAGUUAAUGGUAGGUUUUAAUACACAAAUACAAGAUUAUUGAAAGCAAAUCCACAUACACACACACACAAAUCUACAAUUAUAUAUAUAUAUAUAUAUAUUUCUUUACUACCCACAAGGGGCUAAAUAUAGAGGGGACAAACAAGGACAGACAAAUGGAUUAAGUCGAUUACAUCGACCCCAGUGCGAAACUGGUACUUUAUUUAUCUACCCGAAAGGAUGGAAGGCAAAGUCUACCUCGGCGGAAUUUGAACUCAGAACAUAACGUCAGACGAAAUACCGCUAAGCAUUUCGCCCGGGGCGCUAACGUUUCUGCCAGCUCGCCGCCUUAAUAUAUAUAUAUAUAUAUAUAUAUAUACACAUGCAUGUAUACAGAUACAAAGAAAGCCAAAUGGUUAUAUGGAAAUGUACAAACAUAUGUACAUGUUCAUAUUUAAGAUGAUCUAAUUUUCUGUGAGCAAUGUCAGAUAAUGACACAAGAUAUUAAAACAUGGGUGAAUAAUAUAUCUAUCUGAUGUAGUCUUCAGUGUAAUGCAGCUUACAACAAAACUGAUCUGAUCAUAAGCUAAGCUAAUUAUAUUAUCGUUAAUUAAAUAAAAAAGCGAGACAAGUAACAGAUUUUGUUUUUUCCAUUUCUUUUUUAGAAGAUUACCAAUUUACUGAAUUAUAUACACAGCUUUCCAUUAUGGAAUCCUGACAGAGCUUGUUCUUAUCAAGAAAGCUAUCUACUGACAGAGAAUGUUCUUAUCAGAAACACCAUCUUUUCUGUGGUGCAAAAGUCAGGUGUAUGUAUGUGGCAGAAGAGUAGGUUUGAGUGCUUCAAUGAUAGCGACUUGCUAGAAAUGACAGCAAAAUCACCCUCAUAUCUCGAUCUUUCAUCUUGAAGAUAGUGAAGAUGUAGAUAAAUUGAGAUGGGAGGGGCAUGGCUGGAAUUCUUUUGAUUCUAGAUCUGCUUGACUGAGGUUGACCUAGGACUGAGCAACAACAUACAUAGUCAUAAGCAAGUGAUGGUUGCUUCACAUCUAAAAAUAAUAGCUAAAUUUCCCUUGUGUCAGUCCCUAAUGUCUAUUAAAAAAACAAAAGGAAGAACACAUUGAAUAUUGUAGUCUUAGAUAGACUAUAACUAAAAGAAAUGGGGAAGAGUUAUGGCUUGAAUGCCUUUGAUACACAAGUAUUUUCAAUACAAACUUCUUCCUUCAAAUAAAAUGAAGAAGAGAAACACAGACCAGGUCCAUAAUUACAUGACAAGAUUUCAAUACUUAGUAAUAUAAUACUAUUACAAGAUAUGAAACGCGAAUACAACAGUGUACAUAGGCUUGUAAUAACUGUAAUGGCUAUAAUUGUCUCAGUCUCAAUACAAGAAGUAAGAUGACAUCGUUUUCCAAACAAAUGCAAAUCAAUUUAUCUAUCUAUCCGACAGAGAAAGAGAGAGAGACAGAGGGAGAGAGACAAAUAGACAAACAGAGAGAGAGAGAGUGAGACAAAGAGAGAGAGACAGACAGACAGACAGAUAGACAGAGACACAGACAGAUACACAGACACACAUACACACAGAGUCAAGCAUAUACUGCUCAAUAUAUGAAGUGGCUGGUGUCUGAAGGAAGACAACUUAGGAUGAAGAGAAUGUGACAACUUCUUCAAUGUUGGUGCCACAACUCAAUAAGCCCACCACACUCUGAGUGAAGUGGUUGAUGUUAACAAAUUAUAAAGGAAUUUAUACAAGCAUAUACACAAAUGUAUAUAAAUUUAAUGGGGAAAAAUAAUGUGCAGUGUGUCUAUGUAUCUGUGUGUGUAUGUGUAUGUUUAAGUGCAAGCAUAUAUGUGUUGUGUUUGUGUGCAUAUCUUUUACUGGUUACAAUCAUUGGACUGCAGCCAUUCUGGAAUACCACCUUCAAAGUGAUAGUUGAUCAUACUGCCACUAAGUUACAGGUUAUAAAGGGACAAAAGACAAACAAUGACAUCUCUUUUUCUCAGACUGAUGUAAACAUAGAAACAGACACAGGUACACACACACACACACACACACACACACACACACACACACACACACACACUUCUUAAAUGUUUUCCACUGACCAAAUUCCACUCACAAGGCAAUUGAUCAACCCAAUGCCAUGCACUAGAGACAAACCCAGAUCUACAGAGUUGCAAAAUAAACUCCUUAACCACCACAGUGCCAGGCUUGCACUUUCCUCUUUCUACACACACACACACACACAAAUGGUUUGAUUCAUAUCUCCAGAUCCUGUCAGUAUCAAAAAAGAAAACAAAAACAAAAGGCAUUAAUGCAAGGAGAAAGUGUCUAAGUCUCAGAAAAUCUUUAGUUUGUGUUCAUUGGUGAAUUGUCAGGAUCCACUUGCAUUGACAGUCAAUCAGAGACACAAGCAUAAUACUGUGGUAUCAAUGUAACGCUUAUACUUAUUCAAAAACACACACAUGCAUGAUAAGUUCCAAUACAGACUCGAGGCAGACAGGUUCCACGAAAAAGUUUUCUAACAAAAAUUAUCAACUGAAAGGAUCUAAAUAUUAUUCCAUAAUAGCAUUCAUAACCCACUGGGUGAGAAGAUUACUUCAUAAUCACAAAUCACAUCCCUGUAUCUUUAUUGCUGUAGCUGAUAGCUAAAAUCUGGUGCAAACUGAAGAUAAGGCAAAUGUACUUAUAUGUAUACAUCAUAUAUAUAUAUAUAAUAUACAUAUAAAUGCAUACACACAUUAAUAUACAUAUACAUAUAUAUAUAUAUAUAUAUAUAUAUAUAUACAUAUACAUACAUAUAUAUAAAUAUACAUACGUAUAUAUAAAUACAAAUACAUAUAUACAUACAUGUAGAUACACAAACAUGGAUGGAUGGAUGGGUGGGUAGAUAGAUAGAUAGAUAGAUAAUUUGCUCACACAUUCACUUACUUACAUACAUAGCAAACUUCAUAGAUAUUAAUAUUAUGCUUCUCAUGUCUGAAGGCAGGUUUCCCAAUAUUCAAAUUUGGAUAAUUCCUCUCUUUCUUUAUGCUUAUAACAAAAGACUGCAACCAUCUAAUGCUCUCUCAUACACUGUUGUUAAUGUCUUGCUGUUUAUGAGUAAAUGGAAGAUACUGUGUUAGACUAACCAACAAAAUUAUUCAAAAUUCAUCUAAAAUCGAUUAAUUCUAGUGGUGUGUGUCAUACAACGAGAUGUAUGCCCCUAGCAAAUCUACUCCAGGACAAGCUCUGAUUACCAAUUAUAGCAAUUUCAUUUCACUUACACUACUAAAGUCCUAGAGAAAGGCAUGACUGUCAAACAAUCAGAUUUUCCUUCUCGGAUCUAUAAGAAAAGAAAUCACUAGAAAUGAUUAAUGCAAGAGUACAUACACUGUAUAUAUAUAUAUAUAUAUAUAUAUAUGUAUGUAUAUAUUACUUGCUUCAGUCAUUGGACUGCAGCCAUACUGUGACACUGCAUUGAAAGGUUUAAUCCAGAGUUUUUCAACCAUUUAUCAACCUAUGAACCCAUUUGAUUCUUAUUUUCCUCCAGUAGACCUGCAGAGCAAUUUGAUGCUUAAAAAAUCCUAUUUAUUUUUAUAAUUAAAUGUUAUUAGGAACUGUAUUAAAAAAUUGUUCAAAUAAUUUGUGUAUUGUACAACCAUAACGGUGGAGACACAUGGCCUAGUGGUGAGAGCAGCGGACUCGCAGUUGAGGGAUCGUGGGUUCGAAUCUAAGACCGGGCGAUGUGUGUGUUGAUGAGCGAAAAACACCUAAGCUCCACGCGACUCCGGCAGAAGGUAAUGGUGAACUUCUGACUCUUUCGCCACAACUUUCUCUCACUCUUUCCUCCAGCAUCUUGCAGCUCACCUGCAAUGGACUGGUGUUCCAUCCAGGUGGGGAACCUAUACGCCAAGGAAACUGGGAAACCGGCCCUUAUGAGGCUUGAUAAGGAACAACAACAACUAAUUUAUUGCAUAUAAAUUUUAUCAACAAAAUCUUAUAUGGACUCUCAAGGACCAUAUAGACCCUGGUUAAGGAUCACAGGUCUUGUCGAACAAAUCAACCUUAGUGCUUAUUAUGUAAGUGUUGAUUCUAGUGGUCUCUUUUGUUAAACCACUAAGUUGUAGGUAUGUAAACAAACCAACACCAGUUGUCAACCAGUGCUGGUGCAAACACAUACAAACACACACACUCAAUGGACUGCCACAGUUUCCAUUUAUUAAAUUUACUCACAAAGUAUAGGUCAACCCAGGGCUAUAGUAGAAGACAUUUGCCCUGGCAUUGAACCCAAAAACCAGGUGUGUGUGUGUGUGAAUGUGUGCGUGUACAUAUAUACAUGGAUACAAAUAGUUAAAUCAAAAGUUUGAAUAACCAAUUCUAAAAAGUUUUGCAGACUUCUCAAUGUAAAGUGAUACAAGUCAUACAAAAAAGGAAAAAGAGAAACAGGUCAAACUGUCAGAUCAAUGGAACAAAUCUAUCAAUUGCCAGGCAACAGUGUUAUCAAUUAACUUGUUCAUAAUCUUCCAAACUAUUUUCAGUCGUUGUAAGAUAUAAUGGUUAACUGGUUACAUAAUGAACUACUACUCUAAACAUCACCAACAGAAACCCUAAUAUUGGCAUUACAUUGGUCAUUGUGGGCAAAGUGGCAUAAUUACUUUGAUGGGUGGACACUGCUCAUAAUCCUUUUCUGAACCUCCAAGAUUGGUGGGAAGGAAUGAGUCAGGUACCCUCAAAUCAGGAAUUUGAUCCAAAUGCAUCAGAGUGACCUCUGUUAAAAACACCUUAGGACCAUAUGGUGUUGUUCUACUAGGUCACAGAUUAAGUUUACCACUCAAGCAGGCCAUAGUAGAAUUUGAACUCAGAACUUAAAGAACCAAAUGAAAUACCAUCAGGCAUAACAUUCAGUGCUCUGAAAAUUCUGCCAGUCUGUUGUCCAAGACUCCUUCUUAUUUACUGACCCCAGAAAGAUCAAAGGCAAAAUUGACUCUGCAAGAAUUUGACCUCAGGACACAUAGGGAUGCAACAAAUUACUGCAAGACAUUUCAUUCGGCACUCUAACAACUCUUGCUGCGAUGGUGGCAUGAACAUCACAACAUCAUUCACAGUAACCACUUCACAAUUCAUGCUUUCUAUCAUAUGAUUAACAACUAUAAAGUAUGCAUAUAGCCAGAACACAAUUAUUCUUCAAGUCUAAUUAAGAGUUUUUAGCCCCAAAAACUGUUAUUUCAGUAGUUUAUGCAAAUAUUGAAAAUUUGAACAAUCUUUUAACCCAAAAUAGCAUGUGAAAAAAAAAACCCUACAAAACAUAAUAAACUGAGGGAAAAUAGUUGAAAAAUAUUAAAAAAUUCCUUUUAUAAUCUUUUCUCUCUCUCUCUCUCAUACACACACACAAAUAAAAAUGUCUGCAUGUCAUCAAUUUAGAAAGAAUUUUAAUAGAAUCUGGUUUCAACUAGCAUUUCAUUUCAUUUGAACUUGUAUGAAAACAUUUAGUAAUGUCACUGUUUAUUUUGUAUGAAAUGUAAUGGUUCUGGCACAGAUAACAGAUCCAGACUAGAUACUUUAUGAUAUGUAACCCCUCCACCACCACCACCACCACCACACAUUUUACUUCUUUUUCUCUUCAAUAUUUUUAUCUAUUUAUUUAACAUUCUUGUUAUGAGUGAAAAGGCUUUGUAAAUUUAAACAUUUUAAAAAUAUUUAUUCUGUUUCAAAUUUCAUGAGGGCCAACAUUUUCUUUCAUCUCUACAGCACCUGUUAAAAUAAGCAUCAUUAAGAUAACCUGAGAGAUUUAUUUAUUUACAUUCUGAGUUCAAAUUUGUCUUUCAUCUUUUAGGGUUAAUUAAAUAAAUAGCAGUCAAGUUCUGGGGUCAAUACAAUUGACUGGCCCCCAUCCCACGAAUUUCAGGCCUUGUGCCUAUAACAGAAAGAAUUAUUAUUAUUAUUAUUAUUAUUAUUGUUGGCUGAAUAGGUAGCAUGCUGGGCAAAAUGCUGAGCAGUAUUUCUUCUGUUGCUACAUUCUGAGUUCAAAUAUUGCUAAGGCCGACUUUGCUUUUCAUCCUUUCAAGUUCAAUAGAUUAAGUACCAGUCAAGUACUGGGGUUGAUGUAAUUGACUUUCCCCCUCCCCCAAAAUUUCAGGCUUUGUGCCGUCAACAGAAAGGAUUAUUAUUAUUAUUAUUAUUACUGUUAAGGUGGCAUGCUGGCAGAAUUGUUAGCACACCAGCCAAAAUGCUUAGCAGUAUUUCGUCCGUCUUUGCAUUUCUGAGUUCAAAUUCUGCCAAGGUCAACUUUGCCUGUCAUCAUUUUGGGACCAAUUAAAUAAGUACCAGUGGAGCACUGGGGUCGAUGUAAUCAACUUAAACCCUCCCCAUAAAUUUCAGGCUUUGUUCCUAUAGUAGAAAGGAUUAUUAUUAUUAUUAUCAUUAUUAUUAUUAUUAAGGUAAUUCUCCCAAGGUUGACUUUGCCUUUCAUCCAACUCCUAAACGAAGAAACUUAUGAUGCUGUUAAUGCUCCUUUUGAACCAUUACAAAUCCACAUUUGUAGGAAAGACAUGAACAGAAAUAGAGUUCCAGGGAAACGAUUUUCAUAGAUGGAAGGAUUGGGCAGAAUGUGAUUGGAUACAAGAUAGGCAAUGAGAAGAGGAGGGCUGAGUGAGUCUGGAAUACCUAAGCGGGGGUGACAUGAGACCAGUUAAUUCUGAAGAGUAGAGAUGAUUAUAGUUGCAGUAGAAAAGGCGACAGGUGACACAUCUAUAAACUAAAAGCUGGACUGUAUCUUUAUUGCAAUCAGUUGGGUGGUUCUUUUGUGACUGUAGUCUUUGGGUGUCAGUGUUCACAAGAGCAGUACCAUUCCAGAUGUGAUAGCAAUACUUCGUCGUGAGUCUUAUCUGAUCUUUGGAAAGGUUCGGUAACCAUUGAGAGCUAAAGUAUCUUCUGAAGAGAAGAGUCCCUUAUUGGGACGCUUGUCUAGGAUUGGUGUCACUAAAAAGGAGAUCCUCGGUGAUAGCCAGGCCCAGUAUUUAGAGUAAUCAUUCAAAAGGAGAAAAGCUGUCCUAGGGGCAGUUGGAGUGGUAGAAAGAAAACGUAGAAGUUGAUCCAAUAGAAUACAUCUUUAUGUUUAUAUUUUUAACGAAGAAGGGUGGGGCUUGAGCCUAGGCUAAAGAAUCGGUGAAUUACUUUGCGUAACCAUUUAUAUUUAACUUGCGUGCUGCUAUUUAAAGAACAAAUAUCAAAUUAGUUAACAGAUAUGAAUGUCAACAAAUUAACUAAUUUUGGUUAUCUUUUUCAGAAAUUUCACUAUUUACAUAUGAAAGACAGCCAAACAAAGUUUUAAUUCCUCACUGACGAAACAUCCCCCACCACACACACAUCAAGUUCAAGUAAUUAAAAAUUUUAGUCAUGGUUCCCAGGGCUUCCAUCAUAAGUGGGACUAUUAGAAGUCGCAAUUCAUGGCUCAAGUUGAAAACCACAUCAGGGCUCCAUACAUUUGAGUGUGGUGACAGGGGAAACUAUCUAAACAAAUGCAGGUAUGGUUAUGUGGUUAAGAUAUUUAUUUUUUAACCACAUGGUUCUGGGUUUGUUUGAUCUCACUACAGGCACAUUGGGUUCUGGUACAGACUUGAGUUGACAAAUGCUUUGAGUACAAAUUUGGCAAGCAGAAACUCUGUGGAAGCCUGCUGAGUGUUUGAUUUAUAUGUCUGUGUCUACCCUUCAUUAAUGUAUAUAGGCGUAGGAGUGGCUGUGUGGUAAGUAGCUUGCUUACCAACCACAUGGUUCUGGGUUCAGUCCCACUGCGUGGCACUUUGGGCAAGAGUCUUCUACUAUAGCCUCGGGCUGACCAAAGCCUUGUGAGUGGAUUUGGUAGACGAAAACUGAAAGAAGCCCGUCGUAUAUAUGUAUGUGUGUGUAUAUGUUUGUCCCCCCAACAUCGCUUGACAACCAAUGCUGGUGUGUUUACGUCCCCGUAACUUAGCGGUUUGGCAAAAGAGACCGAUAGAAUAAGUACUAGGCUUACAAAGAAUAAGUCCUUGGGUCAAUCUGCUUGACUAAAGGUGGUGCUCCAGCAUGGCCACAAUCAAAUGACUGAAACAAGUAAAAGAGUAUCAGAAAGUCUCAGUUUGCUAAUAGCAUCUCAGAAUCUCUGUACAUUGCUGACAGUAUCACUGUGCAAGCUAUGUGAGUGUUCAAGGAGGGAUUCAGAGUGCAGGUAAGUGUCCAUCAGGGAUCAGUUUUCACCCCAUUUGUUUAUGAUUUUCCAUGCUACAACAGAGGAGUUUAAAACUAAUUGCAAAAUGUAAACUGAAGGCCUGAAAAUAAAGUUUUAGCAGGAAAAAAUCCAGAUCUCUGUUGCCAUCAGGACGUGACUAUACUCAAAGUACAGAAAAAGGAAAGAAUAGGAAUUCAUACAGUGCAAAACUAUGGGUGCACAACAGUGGGAUCACUAGCAAGCUGACAGAGAAGGAAGACUUUAUAUGUGGAAGGAUAAUAGUUCACAGCAACAGCAACUGUGAAAUAAAUUCUUUCAAAUGUUUCUCUAUAGAGGUAGUCACCAGCUUCUUUUACCAAGGUAACCUAAUAAGCAGAUGGGUAAGUGCACUGAGGGGAUUAUAGCCAGAGUAAGAACAGUGGAGAAAAAGUUCAGAGAGCUGUGUUCCCUUUACUGACAACAAGGGAAUUCUCUCUAUCAGUGAACAGCAGCUUGCAUGAUGGUUAUAUGAAGCAUUAUGUUGCAUGGUAGUGAAACAUGUACAUUGAAUACACAGAGUGUGAAGGCUGCAAACAAAAACCAAAGUAACACAUGUGUAAUGUUAAUGUAUAUAAAUGAUAGAGCACAAAGGAGUUGAGAGAAAAAACUAGCUACAAGAGGAUUCAGGUGAUAGAUGUAUAAUGGUAUUGCAGAUGAUAAUUUAGCAAAAGAGCAUCAGAAGAUCCAGGUAGAAUGUAGAGAAAAAUCUCAAAAUGCUGGUUAGGCAAUGACUAAUGACCACAAGAGGCAAAGCAUUGUGUUGGUGAAAAACCUAUACAACCCAUGCAAACAGGAAAAAUUGAAUGAUGAUGAUGUAACUAUCAGUAACAAUACAUAAAUAAAUAAAAUCCAGUAAGUUCAAAACAAAAAUACUUUUGCAAUAUUUAUUCCAUCUGAGUUUCACAGACACUCCUUCAUCACUCUUAUAUCUUGACUGCCCACAAGGGGCUACACACAGGGGACAAACAAGGACAGACAAACGGAUUAAGUCGAUUAUAUCGACCCCAAUGCAUAACCGGUACUUAUUUAAUCGACCCCAAAAGGAUGAAAGGCAAAGUCGGCCUCGGUGGAAUUUGAACUCAGAACGUAGUGGCAGAUGAAAUACUGCUAAGCAUUUCGCUUGGCAUGCUAACAUUUCUGCCAGCUCGCCGCCCUUACUCCUUCAUCACUCUUGUUAUCAUAAAUGCAGUAAAUCACCAACUGGAAUGCUAGAAUUCUGUCACUAAUCAUGUUCUCUAAAUGUGUGAUAUUAGAAGGUAAAAAUGGAGUUGAUUCUAAAAUUUACAGUGAUUAACAAAUCCUUUGAACCCGACUCACAUUUGAAGCAACCCAACUGUAACUUUGUAACAGUAUUUAAGUAAACUUAUUUAACUAAGCUUAGCACCUCAAUCAACACCGCAAGCUUGCCACAAACACACACAAAACUACAAUUCCCACACAAAUACACUCCAAUAAAACCCACUCCUUUACACACUGCUAACUCCAUAAUUUAUAACUGAGGUGUCAAAAUAAAUUUUCUGUGGCAUUUUUGACAUGACAAGUUUGAGUAAAUUAUUUACUUUUGUCUUAAAUAUCUGGCUGAAACCAAGUCUACACAAGAAUUUCUUUUUACUGCUGUCCUUUCUUCUAAACUAGAACCAAUUAGGUCAAGUAUAGAAACUUUUUUGGUCAAUGAUUUAAGGUUGCAAGUUACAGACAAUCUAAAUUUGGUUGUUCUUAACUCCAGGCCAAGUUUGAUGCAGCAGACUUGUGAUCAGUGACAUUCUAACUAAAACCACCCUGUCUAUUCUUUUAAAGCAUAGUGCAUUUAGGACUACACUUAAACAUCUCUUUUUCUUUUUAAAGAUGGUAGGAUUGGAUUUGAGGGAGAUUUAGUGUAUCAAGUAAAGGGUUAGGGUUACAUAUAUAUAUUUUAGGGUAUCUAAGAUAUACCACCAUGCUUGAAAUAGCAGCCAAAACUUGACUCUAAAACCACAUUAAAAGUUCAUACAGCACCUGGUUUUAGAGUCAAGUUUUGGCUGCUAUUUCAAGCACGGUGGUAUCUCUUAGAUACCCUAUUUUUUAUUAUUUUUAAAGGCACAAUAAAUCUAAAAUUGUAUAAAUCUAGUUCUCCUUCUAUAUGAUGAUAGAAUUUAAUUUGACAGAGAUUCCUACAAGACCAAGCAACCACAGAGAAUCUCUCAUUAGUUAUGCUACUGUUUAGCCAUAAGUCAGUCCUGACCCAGCAGAUCGAUGAUGAAAUACUUUCAGAUUGAGAGUAAUUUCUCUUUCUUUUAGACAGCAUCUUCACAACUACAUCAUCCAAAGUGGCUUUCCAUUUUUCUUAAGAUUGUAAAGAAUAAUUUAAGAGAUUUGGCUGCAGUUUUUAGCAAGUAAAGAGUAAAGUGACCAUGUAAAUUCACCCCAUCUUCACCCUAGGACUUAAGCUAAAUUAGUUUAACUAAUAACCAUCAACUGUCUCUGACAUUAUCAACAUCUUUCACUGAUGAUUACCGAAUGGGAAUAUAGACUAUGAUAUCUAUAACUUUCGCGAGACUAUUUUGUAAUGUAAGAAAAAUAAAAAAAAAAGGCAACAAUCAAGAAUUGAAACCUAAUCACAGGCUUAGUUAAUGAAGAGCUUAACUUUUCUUGCCAAUCAGCAGUCACCAUUUAAUGACUAUUAUCUAAUUAUAAUUUUCUUAUCUCUUCAGGUGUAAAAAAAAAAAAAAAAAAAAAAAAACGUCACUUGCUUUCACUAACUGUUUUAGGUGCCUGUGGAGUCACAAGUAGACAGAUACCUUUUUUAACCCUCCCACCUUUGAUCUAGUAGAACAUCCAGGAUGUGACAGUGGAAGGGAGAGAUAGAGAUGUGUCGGCACUUGGCUGCUACUCAUUUUCAGCCGAGUGAAUUGGAGCAAUGAGAAAUGAAGUGUCUUGCUCAAGGACACAACACAUCACCUGCUCCAAGAACUGAACUAGUAACUUUAUAAUUCUAAGCCUGAUACCCUAAAUCACUAGGCUGUACACCAUUUUAGUAAAGCAGGUGAAAUGAGAGACCAUAGUAAAGAACCUGUUGAAAAAUACAACCCACACACACACACACACAAAACCACACAAAUAUACAAAAAAAAACACACAAAUACAUAAGAGUUAAUUUUGCUAAGAGGCUCAAAUAAUCACCAAAUCUAAUUAAACAAAUCAAAUACGAUGGUUAAUUAAGCCAAUGCUUUACAUGUUAAGCACACACACACUGUGCAUGAUACAUUAAAUUAAGAUUAUCAAAGAUAGAUGAUAAUCAUCAAAAACUACACAGUUUAGUAAAUGCUUAGUGUAAAAGCUGAAUUCACCAAUUUAAUCUUUUUCUUUUUUUUUUUUAAUUCCAUUAAUGUUUCCUUGGUUAAAAUUAUUUGUUGCUUAUAAUCCUUUCAAACAGCAAGGGGAGAGAGAGAGAGAGAGAGAGAUGUGUGUGUAUGUGUGUGAGUGCAUGGUGUGUGUGUGUGUGCAUGGUGUGUGUGUGUGCAUGGUGUGUGUGUGUGCAUGGUGUGUGUGUGUGUGUGUGUGUUUGAGUGUGUGCAUGAGUGUGUGCAUGAGUGUGUGUGAGUGUGUGCAUGAGUGUGUGUGUGUGUGUGUGUGCAUGAGUGUGUGUGUGUGUGUGUGUGUGCAUGAGUGUGUGUGUGUGUGUGUGCAUGAGUGUGUGUGCGUGCAUGAGUGUGUGUAUGAGUGUGUGUGUGUGUGCGUGCAUGAGUGUGUGUGUGCGUGCUUGAGUGUGAGUGAGUAUGUGUGUGUGUGCAUGUGUGAGGGAAACAGUAAGAAAGAAAUUGAUGUGUAGGUAUACAGGAUGUGAACACAUCUUUCAAAAGUCUAUAAAUGGAAGACAAUGUAAUGUUACAGAGCACACUCCAAGUUUUAACUUUAUUCUCUUCCAGAUGUAUCAACAGAAUCAACACAGCAAACUCCAGUCUAACAAAGGAAAUAAAAAAAAGGCGUGUCAUGCUUGUAACUCUGGCUGCCAACAAUAGCAAACUUGUAAAAUUAUCAGCUUCUUCAAGACAGCUGGGUCCUUUGUGUUCAAGGUCAGGAAACAGCUGGAAGCCUCUGAGGAAGAUGUGUCAUCAGUAACAAGAAAGAAAGAAUCAAACAUUUCCAGUCAGACAUCACUAGGAGGGACGAGCUUGUUCAGGAGAUCUGGGGCAUCAACAACAAUUCCAGCAGAUCAAUGAGGGACAUUGCUGAGCAGCUCAAGUUUGCAGACUCCACUGUCAGACAUCUAGUACACAAGGACAUGAAAUUACAAGCCUUACAUGAUGAGAAGAUGGCAGUUCAUAUCUAACAAGACCUGGGAUAACUAUGUCAUCAUGAGACACCCAGUUCAGUAUCACAGGGCUCUUUUACUCUUACUUGUUUCAGUCAUUUGACUGUGGCCAUGCUGGAGCACCGCCUUUAGUCGAGCAAAUCGACCCCGGGACUUAUUCUUUGUAAGCCCAGUACUUAUUCUAUCGGUCUAAAGGCGGCGAGCUGGCAGAAACGUUAGCACGCCGGGCGAAAUGCUUAACGAUAUUUCGUCUGCCGUUACGUUCUGAGUUCAAAUUCCGCCGAGGUCCACUUUGCCUUUCAUCCUUUCGGGGUCGAUAAAUUAAGUACCAGUUACACACUGGGAUCGAUGUAAUCGGCUUAAUCCCUUUGUCUGUCCUUGUUUGUCCCCUCUGUGUUUAGCCCCUUGUGGGUAGUAAAGCAAUAUAUUCUAUCGGUCUCUUUUGCCGAACUGCUAAGUGACGGAGACGUAAACACACCAGCAUCGGUUGUCAAGCAAUGCUAGGGGGACAAACACAAACACACACACACAUAUAUAUAUACAUAUAUACGACAGGCUUCUUUCAGUUUCCAUCUACCAAAUCCACUCACAAGGCAUUGGUCAGCCCAGGCCUCUAGCAGAAGACACUUGCCCAAGAUGCCACACAGUGGGACUGAACCCGGAACCAUGUGGUUGGUUAGCAAGCUACUUACCUGUCUAAUAUUCUUUUGAACUGCUGCAUCUGGAGCAUCACUGUGGCAGGGAGACCAGCCAGCAGCCUCACAAUGCCAAAAACUCACUGGGCUGUUGUCAUGAGUGUAGAGGGUAGCACUGGUAGGAGCUCACCUGAUUCUGACAUGCAAUCACUUUCCUGAUUACAUUGGAGCCAUCAUUGGGGUUGAGGCCAGUUUUGACAAAAGAUCUGUUUCUUUGCUGUACUCAAGACAAAUGUGUAUACAUUUAACUGGGAGUAAGUUCUUUUCCUCGUUUGGUGUUUGUUUUUUCCUUGUUAUUUUGUUCAUAGUUGCCUAAGUUAUGUAUGUGUGCACAUAGGCACAUCCUAUCUGUAUAUGUGCACCUGUCAUAUGUUUAUAUAUAAGCUUAAGUAUACACAGAGUAUGUGUGCAUGUACAGAUAUAUACCUGUGCAUGGAUGCUGACAGGUCUGUUCAUUCAAUAUAUGAAACAGUGAAAGCACAAUGCUUGUCAAUGCAUAUAUAUUCAGAAAAAGUGUAAUAAAUUGAUAAUAUGUAUGGAAACAAUCAGAAAUUGCUUGACGUACAUAUAAUAGGAAACCCAGCUACCUGGAUAGAUUCUGUUAGAAUGAAAUCCAAUCUAAAUUAUUUUUCUUCUGUAAGUUCUAUUUACAGUCUGCAAUUUUUUAACCUUUAUCAUACAAUAUUUCAUAGAACCAAAAGCUGGCUAAGGUAGGUUGGUAUCAAAAGGGUUAAAGAAUUUAAAGGUGCAACUGUACAAGGUUUCUAAGUUUUUUUAACAGAAUACAGAUAUUAUUGACACACUAGCUAGCCCAGUACCAUCAAAAAUGACAGCUAAUUGUAAUAUUUUAUAUAUAAAUAUGGAUGGUAAAUCAAAUUAAUACACUUGUCAAUGAUAACUAGUGGUUGUCUUUGAGAUGUAACAUCAAUCAUCAUUUGUUACUGAAAGGAUGCUAGUUCACAUAUUCAAACAUUCACAUACUUCCCUUGUACACACACACACACACACACAUACAUUUACUCACACAGAGUUGAAACACUGUUUGAUUUUUCUUUUCAGAGUUGAAUGUUCACCAUCUCACACACACACACACAAACAUUCACAUACCUCCCUUUUACAUACACACACAUAUACUCACACAGAGUUGAAACGCUUCCACUAACAGUUUGCUAUCACCACUUCCUUUCUCAUUCAUAUGUUGUGACGGAGAAAAAUACAAGAGUAUUAUUAUACUCAGACAGUACAAGGGAGGUAAUUGUUUCAUAAUAUUUGGUGGGAUUAGAAGUCUGAAUUUGAAAUUUAAGAAUGAGGAAGGAAACGUAUAGAAUAGAAAUUUUUUUUUUUUUUUUUUUUGCUGACUUAUUACAAAGUUUAUAAAAUUUCUAGUCUUUAGUAGUUUGUCAAGAAGCAGAAAAAAGUGGAAUUUUGUAGGCAAUUUUUAGUUUUUCAGUUUCUGUAAAAACCCAUUUGUCAAUUUUUAGCCCAAGUUCAGCUCUGACUGAGAUCUGCAGUCAAUGAUGAUUCUGAUAGUAUAUGAUCAAAACUAGUAUAAUAUAUAUAUAUAUAUAUAUAUAUAUAUAUAUAUAUAUAUAUAUACCUGCAUAAUUCAAUAUCUUUUUUUUUUCUUUUUAAGAGGAAGUGAUUUGAGAGAAUACAUCUGUUAUAUCUAGCAAGUUGACUGCUGAUUGUGAAAGCCUCUCUCAUUGGCUCAUGUAAGGAUGAAAUAUUGAGAGGUGACAUUUAAAUUGUGUCAAUCUAAUAAAACCAAAAGAAUAUUGGUCCUUAGAGCUAAAGAUGAUGUGUCAUUCCAUAGCUUUUAAAAUAAAAUAAAAAAAGAAAAGAAAAACACACUGAUGUACUUUAAAUCAUAGGUAGAGUAAAUGCUUAGAGAUUUGAAGAAAAUGAAAAAUUCUUAGAAAUAACAAUAAUAAUAAUUUUCACUGCAUGAAAGAAAAAAAAUGUUGAAAUGAUUUGUGUCAAAAAUUAAAGAAUGAAGUAAAAUACAAAAUAAAACAAAAACAGGAGAAGGUAGAGGCAAAACAAGACUUUAAAAAAUGUAAAAAAACUAGCAUAAAACAAAAGAUUAUCAUAGCUCUAUUGUAAAGUGUGCGUGACUUUUCAUCAGCUGAGAAGACACAUGAAAAAAGGAAUAAAAUUGAAAAAAGUUGCCAGCCGCUAUAAUUAAUGCACACUUCAGUCUCCAAGACAAGCAGUGUAAUUCUUUAUUUUUCUUCAAUUUACUUUUUUCCUGUUAAGGUUCUAAUUUGAAUUGAUAAAAUAUUAUUUGUAAGAUUGAGAGGAAUAAAAGCAAGCUAUUUUCAACACAUUUAUUUUUUUUAAACAAAAUACUGCUAAUGAGUAAAUUACAGACUGUUAAUCUGUCCUAAUAUUUAUUUUGAAAUAACCAAAUAUUAGUUAAAUCGAAAUCUUAAAAUUGUAUCCAUAUUGUUUGUGAUCAAGAGUUUUUGAACAUCUACCAUAUUCUAAUUUUAAAAAAUCAAGAGAUUUUUAUAUUUUCAUUUAACCCAAAUGUCAGAAUUUUAAUGAAUUUCCGUGGUUCAUGUGUGUGUGUGUGUGUGUGUGUGUGUGUGUGUGUGUGUGUGUGUGUGAAUGUUUAUAUUAAACAAUUUCAAUUCUGAUUAGUAAUUAAUGAUAUUUGCCUCACAAUCACCAUUCCUCCUUCCUAACAUCCACCUCUUGACCAUCAUAAAGUCCAUGUACUGAAAGAUAGCAUCAUGUUAGGAACUAGCUACAUGGUUUCCCCUAUUACAUUCAGACUUCCUUUUCUAUUCCUCUCUCUCUCAUCAGUCCCUCUCAUAUCACUCAUUGUUGACAUCCAUCCCUUUCUCUUUCCCAUGCUCUCUCUCUCUCUCUCUCACUCUUUCAUAUAUAUAUAUAUACAUUACUCCCACUUUCAGCACCCCACCCUCAACUCAUGUUGUUUUUAUCCAACAGCCUUAUCAACAAUCAUUGUAUAGCUGUCUAUCACUCUUUGUUUCACUCUUCCUUUAUUCUCUGCUCUGUCACCCUCUCAAUCCUAUUACUCUGGUUCUUUUCCAUUACUUUCUCCAACAUCAUUCUCUUACUGGCUCUUUUUUGUCACUCUUCUACCUGCAGAGAACAAGCCAACCCUCUGGUACUGGUAGACAAAUGAAUGGAGACAACAUAGGGUAGAGAGAACUGUUUAGUCUUACAGAGAACAUAACAACCUCUGUAGUGUUGGUGCCAUAGUAAAAAGCACUCUCCACACACUGUAAAGUGGUUAUCUACAGAAUAAAAUGUCAAAAAUGGAAUAGGCAAGAGAGAUGUGGUGCCCAACCUAUCUCAUUUAUACAUGAUACCCUGAUUCAGUCCACAACAACCUGUACAUGCAAGCAGGGAAAGUAAACAUUAAGUAAUAAUGAUGAUGAUAUAACCGUUGGAAACAAGCCAAUAUAGGGGUAGUCAUUGUGUCAAAAGACUUGUUAAAAAUAGCAACUCUAUCUCCCUCAAACUAUAUCCUGCCAUCCAUCUUAAGAUACAUUUGAUAACCUAAUACUGAAUGCAGUGUCUAAAAAACAAAAAUUAAAAAGAUGGGAUGAUUAUAGUUGCAAUAACUUUUGAUUACAGAUGUGCUUGAUCAGAGCUGACAGCUCAACAGAAACCCAUAUCCAGUAAGUAUUUAUUUUCACAUUUAGUUGGGGCAAUUAGAGUUUCAGUUUUCUAAUGAACUAAUAAACACAUCUGUAUCUGAUGUAAAUUUAUAAACGCUCUUAAAAAAGAAAUGGAUUAUUAAGAUAAUUAUGGUAUCCAUUGUUCACUAAUUAGAGACUAAUUAGUGUAUUAAUUGCAAUGUCUUUUAACAGUCUGUUGGGCAAUAAAUAAAUGAAAUCCACUAAUGAAAGAUAAGGCUUCUGAUGAAACAAGAUCAGCUCAAUACAGCUCCACCUAAUGGUGAAGACAAUUCCACUUGCUAAAUAUUAUCGAUUAGUUUAUAAUAAGUAUUACAAUAAAUCCAUACAUGUGCAUGUGUGUGAUUAUUAUUAUUAUUAUUAUUAUUUCACGACCGUAUGGCUUGGGUCAUGAACCAUUUUGUGCAAAGUUGUCGUCCAGCCGACUAAAAUGCCUUAUAAGUUAAAUUUCAUCAUCAUCAUUUAACAUCUGUUUUCCAUGCUGGCAUGGGUUGGAUGGUUUAACAGGAGCCGACAAGGCUAGGAGCCACAUCAAGCUCCAUUGUCUGUUUUGGCUUGGUUGCCACAGCUGGGUACCCUACUUAAAGCCAACCACUUUACAGAGUGUAGUGGGUGCUUUUUACACGACAUCAACACCAAUACUUUUUACCUUUGUGUGGCACCAGUAAAUGAAAGCUGUGUAGAAGAUGGUAAUGUUUGCAUGUGUUUGUCUUUAGUUGACAUUGCUUGGGCAAUGGUGAUACUUGUUUGUGUCAUGCAUAAACAAUAUGCCUUACAGCUCAGUGGUUUGUCAUGCAAAAACCAGUGAAAUAAAAAAAUUCACUCAAAUACAAGCAAAGGUAAAUGACAAGAAAGGCAUCUGACCAUAGAUUACUGCCUCAAAAAGUUUCAUCCAACCUUUAUUAGCAUGGAACGAGCAAACAUAAAACAGUGAUUAUAGCCUCAGGGUGACUGAUAUUUGACAGAUGUAAACUGUAUGGAAGCCCAUUGGGGCACAGUUUCAAUAUGAACCCAGUUUAACACCAUCCUUGUUAUCUUUAAUUGAUGCCUUUAGCAAUCUGUUGCAAAAAUUGGAUCCAGGUCUCUAGUCUAUGGCUAAACUCUCUUCCUUUCACCCAAUCUUGGAGAGCCUGUGAAAUGCCAUAGACACUAUCAUUCCUUCAAGGGCUUUGUAAUAUAUAAAAAAUAAAAAAAUACAGCAAAACAAAAUGCUACCAGGAGGGGUUUAAUAUCAGAACAUAGAGAAAUGGAACUUGUUCUCUACUGCUUUAACUAUUGUGAGGCUGGUUUCUUUUUAGAGACCGUUUGCUGCUUGGCACAUUCUGAAGUUGUACUUUGUUCUUUCUUCACAGACUAACGGUGCUCUCAAUCACACCAAAUUUCCUACGCACUGUACAAUUAUUAUUCUUUUCAGCAAGUUCUUUGACUAAAUUUAAACUUCUCACUGCAAGCAAUAAGUAUUUCUUAUUUUUUUGUUUGUUUUUGCAUCCAGACUUCUGUUACAAGGAUGCAUACUAAAGAAUUUUUUUCAACACUACUUGCAUAUAUUAAUAACACAUUUUUCACAUUUUAAAUUGUAAUCAUUUAAUUUGCAUAAUCACUUUUAAACAAAACAGUGUCUAAGAACACAUCACCAGCAAGCUAAAAAAAAAAAAAAAAUUAACAAUAGCCGUUAGAUGUAUUCACAAUGCAUACAUUGUUUCAUAACCACAGACAAAGAAGUGUGUAUAUGUGUGUAUUAGUCAUUAGAUGUUCCAGGGCUAAUGCCUUUAGUAUUUUCAUCAUCACAGAUUUAGAGCUGCUUUUUAUAUUUUAGUUUUAUUUAUUUCUUUUUAGUAUAAAGGUUUCCCUUAAGUUUAACUGAUAUUUUUUAUAUUAAAUUUCUCACAUUAUUUUGAGUAAAUACAGUAAUUACUUUUAAUUAACAAUAUUGCUGAAAGAAAUUACUGCAGGGCAGUAUUCUGCAUACAAAUACACACAUAAUAAGCCAUGCCAUGUGCAAUAUGUGAGAUGAAAUACUUCCUCUGGGGUGUUUAAAAUCUGAACCAACAGGCAUAAAAAGAUAAAUUCAAUACAAUCAACCUAUCAAGAUUUUUGGGAAAUGAAUAUAAUUAUUUUUAAUUAGCAUUUUGAUGGUGACUACAUUAAAUAUGCUAACACUAAUUUGACAAUUGUUUUUCAUGCAAACAGCAUUGCUGAUUAACUGAAAUUAAUGAUUUUUUUUUUUUUUAGUAUUUAAAUAUGCUUAUGUACUUUUAAAUACAAGUAUGGCUGCAUGUUUAAGAAGUUUGCUAUACAACUAAAUGGUUUGGGAUUCAUUUGCAUGGUGUGGCAUCUUGGGCAAGUGUCUUCUAUAAUAACAUCUGGUUUGACUUAUAGCUUAUGACUCAAAUUAAUAGAUGGAAACUGUGCAGAAGCCCAUCAUGUGUGUGUGUGUGUGCAUGAGAGAGAGAGAGAGAGAGAGAGAGAUUAUGCAGCUUUAUGUCAGCCUUAUGCUGACACCACUUGGUGUUCUGUGCUUAUAAUCUAUAACUUAGCAGUUUGACAGACAAAAAUCAACAAAUAUCAGAUUUUAAAAUGCCUGGAUUGAUGUGAUUAACUAAAACCCUUAAGGCAUUGCUCCAGCAUAGCCACAGUUCAAUAACUGAAAUGAGUAAAGGAAUAAAAACAGUUUAUUUCUAAAUGAAUCAACUUAAUGAUUCAUCACUACUUUGGCAAAUUUGGUAUAGUGAAUUUAUGCCUUGCUGAGGAGGUCUAAUAAGACAGAAACAUCCAAUUAUCUUCCUGUACAUGCUGAAACAAUUGCUAUGAUAUUGGUAGUCAUUGAUCAAAUGCCAUUUCUUCGCAUCAUUAUUUUUAAUUAGCUUUUAGGUGCUCACUAUACUAAGUAUACACUGGAUGGCCACUAAUGCAAAGAGAGGUAAUUAUCUCCUCAAUGUGUGGUGAGAUUAAAAAUUUGAAAUUAAAAAAUAUGAAAAGAAUACAAAGAGCUCAUAUAAAUAAAUAUAUAUUUAUUAUUAUUAUAUUGAGUUCAAAUUCCACCGAGGUCAACUUUGCCUUUCAUCCUUUCAGGGUCAAUAAAUUAAGUACCAGUUGAGUACUGGGGUUGAUGUAAUCGACUAUCCCCUUUCCCCCAAAUUCCAGGCCUUGUGCCUAUAGUAGAAAGGAUUAUUAUUAUUAGUAGUAGUACUACUACUACUACUAUUUUUACUACUGCUAUUAUUACUACUAUCAUUAUUACUAUUUUGAGGGCGCAAGGCUUAGUAGUUAGGGUGUUGCAUUAUCUAGCGAUCACAGUUUCAAAUCUUAGACCAAGGGGUGUGUUGUGUUCUUGAGCAAAACACUUCAUCUCAUGUUGCUUUGCAAUCACAUCAACAUCUGAUGCAUGGUACACAGUGCACCUGUUCAAACAAUGUCGAUCUGAUGGAGAGAGUGAGCUAAUGUGCCACACAUAUAUUUGAUCACUUUAAACAAAUCAUUUGCACAGGUCAUUCAUCAAAACAAAAACAUAUAUUGGCUUCAAUGGGCGAGUCCAUCAUCAUGCCAUCAAAGUGACACUGGGGUAAAAUAUAUGAAGCCCAGUAUACCCAUCAUGACUACCUGUUUGAUAAGGGUACACCAAGCACAUGCAACACAAUCAUAUGUGCAUGACAUGGUGAUCUCAUAUCAAGAUAAGCAGUGCAUGACCUUGCAGGUAGGGCCCAAUUAAAAUUUCCUUCAGGUUGAGUAGCCCAUCCCACUCAAAAGGUCCCUGAAUAAGGGCUGUUUAAGGAUGUUGAAUGAAACACCUAUUUCCAGAGGUGAAUUAUUCAAACCCCAAAGAAUUCUUGCUCCCCCACUACUUCUGCUCGUCAUCAGCGAUGCACAUAUCAUUAGCCACCAAGGGACAUGCUCAACUGGUUGAAGUCAAGCAACAGACAAGCAAAUCUGUGGCAUUGAGCAGAAUAUCUGCUGUGGCCCAUCUUUAUACCAAGACAAAACAUGUACAUGAUAACACUUCCAAUCAGUUAAGAUCAAAAGCCAUGGGAGUCACUACCUAGUACUGCGUCAGGGCAUAUGAUUACUAUUAUUGUGGAGGCGCAAUGGCCAAGUGGUUAGGGCAAUGGACUCGUGGUCAUAGGAUCGCAGUUUCGAUUCCCAGACCAGGCAUUGUAUGUGUUUAUUCAGCAAAAACACCUAAAGCUCCACGAGGCUCUGGUAGGGGAUGGUGGUGAACCCUGCUGUACUCUUUCACCCCACCUUUCUCUCACUCUUUCUUCCUGUUUCUGUUGUACCUGUAUUUCAAAGGGCCAGCCAUGUCACACUCUGUGUCACGCUGAAUCUCCCUGAGAACUACAUGAAGGGUACACAUGUCUGUGGAGUGCUCAGCCACUUGCACGUUAAUAAAUGAGCUGCAACGUCACUGGUGCCAAGCUGUAUCAGCCUUUGCCUUUCCCUUGGAUAACAUCGGUGGCAUGGAGAGGGGAGGGCAGUAUGCAUGGGCGACUGCUGACCUUCCAUAAACAAUCUUGCCCAGACUUGUGCCUCGGAGGGUAACUUUCUAGGUGCAAUCCCAUGGUCAUCCAUGACCAAAGGGGGUCACAACAACAACACAACAUUACUAUUAUUAUUAUCUAUGAAGUUCUUACAAUUUUUAGUAAUUGAUAAUCAUGUAUAGAUAUGUUAACACAAUAAAUUCAGAUUAGAGAGAGCACUGAGAACAGAAGAGAUAGUGUUACUGAUAAAAUCAAAGAUUGUUUUGAUGAAAAGAAAAAUACUGCCGAGAGAGAGAAAUUAACUGCAGAGUAAAAAUGGUAGAGGAGUUUAUAAAGACAGGAAAAUACAAUUAAAUAUAUAUUUUUUUUAAAUAUCCAAUCAACAAUAAUAGAAGGAAUGUCAUGAGUCAUUAAUUUAGAAAGAAAAGUGUGAAAAUGUCAACAUUUUGAAGAGGAAACAAACAAAACAAAACCAAAUAAUUUAUUCAAAUAUACACUUUCUGAUGUCAUUGUAACGGAACUAAAAGAAAUAUUUCAGCAAAUUACUAAUUAAAUUUUUUUUUUUUUAUAUUUUUUAUCUUUUACUUGUUUCAGUCAUUAGACUGUGGCCAUGCUGGGAUACCACCUUGAAGAAUUUCAACUGAAUGAAUCAACACCAGUAUUUAUUUUUUUUUAAGCCUGGUAUUUAUUGUAUUAGUCUCUUCUGCUGAACUGCUAAGUUACAGGGACAUAACACACCAACAGCAGUUAUCAUGUGGU